Rattus norvegicus (Norway rat) is the source of this 45324-nucleotide non-coding RNA. Lineage: Eukaryota; Metazoa; Chordata; Mammalia; Rodentia; Muridae. The record is from RefSeq and is a predicted model, not a curated record.
GGAAGAGGGGGGAGGAGGAAGAAGAGGAAGAGGAGACAGAUGAUGCCCAAGCUGUGCCCAGGUCAAGAAGAUGAAGACAAUAUGUUAGGUUGCCAGACCAUGAAAACCAGUAAGGGACAAAUUGGAACUCGUAAAUAAAGCAAGCUGCAUUUUUAGAGCACGUUCUUUUAUGUUUCAUGUUUGGAAACUCAGCUACUGUCUUUUUUUUUUUUUUUUAAUCACACAGUUUUCCUCGAUUAACAGUAUAAGCUGAUCAUAACUCACUUGUCUCUUAGGGGUGGUUUUGAGUUUUCUUACGGACAUUCUGGCAUUUUCUGAAGGCCGCGACCUUUAUCACAUUUUUCCUUCUCCAGGAGAUGAAAGGCGUGAGCCUGGAGAUUAUGCUCAUGGCCAGCUUAAGUAAAAGGGAUUUAUGCAAUCAAAUUUGCAGAUGGUCUUUUUUAUUGAUCACAACUUUUAUGCAGGGGAUCAAUUUUAAUCUACUUGGCAUCUUUAAUUGCUUAUCCACUUAAAAAAUUAAGCCGGUGCCUAGAAGGGCCCCUUCUAAUGUGAAUUGUUUUCGCUGUUAGUGAAAAUUCGACAUUACGUUACCUGUUGCCGUCAGGAAGAAGACUGCUGAGUCUGCUGUUAACCUUUCGGACAAAGGGGAAGAGUGGAGGGAAGGAAGUUCUUGCUGGCACUUCCUUAUACAUUUCCAGGGUGUUGAUUCUGACAGGGCUGAAGAAUUUGCCCGUUGGCCCACUCCGUCACUCACUCACUGCCCCAGCUUCCUCAUGCAGUUCCCAAUAAUGCGAAUGAGGGUGAUCUGUGGACACCCUGUUGUCAAGACCCCGUGUGCUGUCCCUGCGCCCUGGGCUGGGAGAUCCUCUCACUUAGCUCCCUCCCAGUGGUGGAUCUAGACACCCUUUCCGGACUCCACAUACAGUGAAAGCUGCAUAUCCCUUCUAGACCUCAGCAGAGGAACGGAGGUAGAAGACCACACAGACUUUAGUUCUUUAGUUCUCAGAAAGGGUAGAGCCAUGGAGGAGUGGACUGCCAGUGAGGUUGCCAGGCGACGCUCCAGGAAUCCACCACACCAGCUCUCUCCUCUCACUCAUGUUUGGAGAGGACUUGUUGCUCCUGGAAACAGACCCAGUCAUGAGCUCCAGCCCUCCCCAUCCCAUCCAUAGACGUCCUCAUCACUCCCUGGUUGCUUCUUGUCCUCUUGGCUCUGCCGUCCUGCCUGCGACCUUCCUUCAUGCCUGUCUGUUACAACAUCUCUGUAACCCACCCCGGCCUUCUGUUGUCCUUUACUCUCUUCUCUGGGCUCAGGUCUGUCCUUUUCUCCCUGGUCCAACCCUGGAGUCCCAGUGUCUCCAUUCUCCCCUUGGUCUUUCCUGCGUAAGCUCCAAACUUACUAGGAGGAAACAUGGCAAGCCCGCUUCUGUCACUAACUGAUUUACCACGUACAGGUAGGCAAGCUUUCUCACUGGUAAAAGGGGAGCGGUGCUGCUGUCUCUGUCACUUGUGGUGAGUGGACUGGCUCAGGACAUGAACCCUGUGUUGAUAUGGCCACUCUAGAAAUUGCUACAGGACAUUAACAUCCGUUGUGAGUUAGAGGUCAGCUCAGACAGACCCCCUUAUGGGCCCAGUGGAUAGGACAGUCUCAGCAGAAUGGGAUUUAAUGCAGGUGUUUGGGGACUCAGGGGGUCAGUGAUACAAGGUGCUGAUUCUAUGCUGCCUUCGGGAAGAACUCCUGGGUCACUGCCUCUGAAAUGGCCACUGCUCAGCAAGGAGAUGUCCCCACUGGAACUGCUGGUCUCAAGAACUUCCCUUGCAGCACAGACCCCAAGACAGAUCCCCAGUGCCUGUUCCUGCUCACAGCACCCAGGAGGCAUGUGGCUAGGCCCUGGGCACUCUAGCUGUUCUGCCACGCUGGGGACUAGACAUAGAGAAGCCCAGCAGAGCAGCAAGAGAGGCUCUGCAAACCUCACAGGAACGUACCUCCAGAGCCUCACCUGCAGGCCCUUCGGGAAUGCCUGAGUGCAUUUAUGCAGUAUCUGACAGGCAGAAAAGGACUCCACAAGGAGUGUAGGAGGCCUUGGGGUACCCGUCCCCCUGAUCUAUUCCUGGGAUCAGCAAAAAGUUGCCCAUCUACAAGAAGACGGCUUUGGCUGAGGACAAACAGAACCAGCAGUGUGUUGUGGACUGCUCCAUUCGGCCUUCCCAUGUCUCUCCACACCACUGGGCACCACGUCUUUUCUCUCAGCAACUCAUUUGUUGCUGUAAAGCUCAUCUCCAGAAAUGCCCCUGCUGCCUCCCAGUGCCUCUGGAACCCUCGCUUUCAUCCUUGGUCUGUCUCCUAAGGUGCAUACUACCACCAGGCGCCACAGAGGUAAUCCACGGACACUGGAGCACAGCCAAGCACCGUGUGUGUUUCGAGAGCCCUUUCACACAGACCCCAGAGAUAGAUCACUUCCUGUGUGGCUUCUUGCCUCAGACCCAGCCUCCCUCCUUUCAUCUCACGCUCAGCAACUUCCUCUUCUGUGCUCCACUCAGGCCUCAUCCUGCUGCCGUCAUCGUGGUCGCUGUGGAGGCUCAGUCCUCAUCUGCAACCAGGCGCAGCCCCGCCUUCCCUCCUUGGAGACAGGGUUGCUUACGUACAUGCCUUUCCCAGUUAGUACAUUAUUUUUAUUCUGGAUCUUUAGUCAUCUUGUACUAGGAUUGAUUUACUUGUCCCUUAAAAGUUAAAGUUGAUGCGUGGCAUAGAUCUUCAGUAUAUUAGGGAAAAGAAAAAAGCCGCUGGCACACUAUAACAGAAAGUAGAGUUGAUGACUGAGAAGACCUGACACCGGAUCCUAAGGGCCACCAAGGAAGGACCGUGUGAUCAUCAGAGAGCUUCUCCUGUCAUGGGGGUGCCUCCUCUAGGCCUAUAAGAAAGAGAAUAUCCCUAGAUAGAAAGAAGAGAAUGAACAUCUUCAUCGAAAGUCUAAAAGACGAUUUCAGAUAGUGCCUGAAAAAAUUCACGUAGGCUAGUCAGGAACCGUCCCACAAAGCAUGCAGGUCGGUGCAAAAUCGUGGGCUGGAUGGCUUUCUCCAUUUGUUCUCAAACUAAAAAUUGGAAACCCCCUCAUUUUCUUUUCUUUUUAAAAACCCACGUGGGCCUCUUAUUUCUGGCAUUAGGUGGAAAAGUCUCCUCCAUCUCCAGAUGUUUCUCCUCUGGUUGUGGCGCCCCUCACUUUAUGCCCUUCAGCUAGGGCUGGCAGAUGUGAGAGUUCCAGUUCCGACCGGAUUUUAUCUUCAGUCGUUUCUGCCUGGCUGUUUGCAGUCCAAAAGCUACCACAUUACAGGUGUGAUACCAGGCAGAGGAGCAGUCCUCUGGCCGGGCUAAUCCUGCUUGUGGUUACACAGAGUCCUCAGACUGGGAACAGCUUGGGGGCACCCUGGUAGAAGUGAGUAAACCUGGCGUAUUGGAGUUAAGAAAAGAAAGAAAAAUGGGGCACCCCUUAAAUUAAAACAAUGUGUGUGUAUGUGCAUGUGCACGUAUGUGUGUCUGUAAGUGCACACGUGUAUGAGACCCAUGUGUAUGAGACCAUGUAUGUGAGCCUGUGUGUGCAUGUUCAUUUGCAUGUAUGCAUGUGUGUACAUGUGUACGUGAGAAUGUGUCUGUGUCUAUGUAGGUACACACUCAAACGCACAUAUACAUACACAGACAUUAGAACCAAAUCAAUCUCAAGAAUUGAUUAACAGAUAGUAAUUGUUUUUAGUAUUAAACCAAGGGAUUGAUUGUGAUUAUUGAUUAUUUAUUAGUGAUCAGUUUUCUUUGGGAGCUGGAGAUUAAGCCCAGAAACUUAACUCAUAUGCAAAGGUUCCUUCCCUGAGCUACAAUAGGUAGGGUGAUUGUUGGAAUUUUAUAAUGGCCAGCUACUGUAGUGGUGUGGCUUUAAAUGACUAAAGCUUACCUUCGCUAAGAUUCAGGUACAUUUGAAAGUCUAGGAACCACCAAGGAAGAUCUUUCUCCCUGGUGAUCUCUCCUUCCUAGCGUUUCCUGACACACAGCACACAGCACACAGCUUCAUGCCUGCGCCUCACAUCAUUCCUUCCUGCAUGAGUGUUGUCUGUGAUUUCCCUUUAAGAAGGUUAACUGCUACCCUAAUGACCUGUUUCCAACUUGGUGAUAGCUGCAAAGGCACAAAUGAGGUUACAAUGUAACUGUUUCUAACCUGAUGACAUUGUAGAGACACAAAUGAGGUUAUAAUGUAACGUCCUAGGGGAUUAGCAUUCCAGGAUUUUUUUUUAAUUGGGGUCACAAUUCAACCAAUAGCUCUCCUUCCUCUCAGAGCCAGUGAGCAAGCCCAAAUCCCAAAGCAAAUGGCACCCCAAAGUCCCUGUGGCUUGUGUGCUGCAGCCCAUUGAAUGGUCACAAAACUGACUUCAGGUUUGUUCUCCGUUGCAUAGGACAUCUGGGCUUCAGACAUCCCAGUGCACCCCUGGACUGUCCUGUGCAGCACUGCUGUGGGCAGCAGGCCUUUCAAGUUUCUGCUCUAACAAGGAGAGUCUAGGUUGGGAACUCACCCAUGUCCCCAUCCCAGUUGACAGGGCUGCACAGUGGCUAAGAGCUACAGUCAAGCCAUUGAGUUUCAUUACUGGCUGUUGACUGUAUGUGAGGCUGAGUCAUUUCAUCUGUAUGGUGAGACUCUAAUGACACCUCAUUGUGACGAGAACUUCAGCACAGCCUGACAGAUUUCAGACACGCUGAACUAGACAAGUCUUAGAGAGCCUGGGUGAUGGGACAGACUGUACUAUACUGAAAAUAGCAAAACAGGGGAAAAAAUCCCGUUAUCACACUAAGUAGUAUGUCCCUUGUUUUAUUUUCUCAAAGGCUCCCCUCCCAGGUCUGUCAGCAAAUGUCAGUCUACAGAGAUUGUGAUGGUUAACCUUGUCAACUUGGCAGGACUUGGAUCACUGUGAGGAUUUCCAGAGGCUUAACUGAGGAGAGACAGCCCACCUGGGUGUAGUUGGUGUCCCACAAUGAAUGAAAUAAGCGGAACAUUAGCAUUUGUGCUAAUGCUAUGCUACUGAGCACCUCUGCUUCCGGAGAGCAGUGUGAGAAGCCCCUCACACCUCUUGCCAUGCAGACUGUAUGAAUGGGUGUGGUCCAGUAUUUUGACAGAGCAGUAAGAAAAAGUAAUGUGUAUAUAUAUAUAGUCUUACGUGAGUGUGGCUAGGAUUGUGUGCUGUUAUUUUUGAGAGUUUUAUUCGAGAGAGGCUUCAAGUGUUGACAUAUUUUUCCUGGGUGAAGAUUACAGUGAAGGUGUGCUGGAGCGUGCUCACACCCACCUCACACCUGGCCAUUGCUGUGAUGGCCUCUUCCGUGGGUGCACCUGGCAGCACCACCUGUGUGCGUUUGUGUCCUUCUGCUUCCCCAACUUGAACAGACUGAGACCCUGCAAAUGCCCAACUGGCACUGCACAGACGCAUAGAAACUCAAAGAGUUUCCAUUGGGUAUAGCUUGACCAAAAUGAUGGGCACAGAUAGAUACUUCCUAUCUGUGGACAAUGGAGGUAGGGUUCUAGGUAAUUUCUUAGGACCAGUUCUUAAGACCACAUAGCAGGAGGAUGCUCCUGUCCACCAGCUCCAGGUACCCCACUGGCACCUCUGAGGUUGGGGCAGUUGUCAGUCACCCCGUAAGUUGUUAACAUUGUAACAUUGUAACAUUGUAACAUUGUAAUAUUGUCUCUUCUAAAUUCCUGUGACUUUGAAGUGACGCUCAACAUUUCUAUUCUUGUGUCUUUCUUUCCUUACUAAAACAGACAACCGCCCCCAAAAAACCUAUUACAGGGGGCUAGAGAGAUUUCUCAGUGGUUAAGAACUCUGGCUGCUCUUCCAGAGGUCCUGAGUUCAAAUCCCAGCAACCACAUGGUGGCUCACAACCAUCUGUAAUGAGAUCUGAUCUUCUGGUGUGUCUGAAGACAGCUAUAGAGUAUUUAUAUAUAAUAAAUAAACCUUUUUAAAAAACAAAAACAAAAACAAAAAACCUAACCUAUAACAAUAAACUCAGGCACCAACACACCAGUGAGUGACCAUAAUGGUAACAGCUGACCGGCCACAGGUCAUCACCAAAUCACUUUCCAAAGGGCGGAGUUCCGAGAAGUCCUAGUCAGUUGUGUGAAUGGCUGUUCGGAUGCCUUGUUUCCGGUGCUAUCGGUAGAAAGGAGAUAUCUGUGUCUUUGUGUGUGCACAUCCCCAGAAGAUAACUAAGCAGGGAUUGUAGCAAACUCAGCACACGUGGCAUUGUCCCCCACACAUAUAUGCCUAUAGCAAACUUUAGCCAUUUCAUGUUUAUGGCUUCUCUGGCAUAUUCAAAUAGCCUGCAUUGGGAUUUUCAUGUUCGGAAAACACUAGUAAGUACCAUGUAGCUUAGCUGUGUGGCCUUUAACAGCUGCCUUGCCCUCUCUGAGCCCAUUCCCAUCUGUCACACAGAGCCACCCACCUGAAAGAGUGUGAGGUUUAGGGGCAAUGUGUGCAAAAUGGAUGCUCUCCCAGAAGGAUCCAUGUGUGUUGUGUGGUCACCAUGAUUGUCACUCGUGUUAGACUCCAGAGUUUGGCUGACAAGCUAGUUACAGGAGCUUUGACUAGAUCACAAAACAUGUGGCAGCCAGUGGGAAGGUGAGGGUGAGAACUUCAGGGUUCCUUGUUUGAUGUUUAGUACAAUGAAAAGUGCGACAGGGAGCAGUCAGAUACCUUGGGGACCCCACGUGCACCGCACGCACAUCAUGACAUGUGGGACAGUGUGACCUGGCUUGAGCUUCCGUCCAUGUGCCCUGCUGCUGACUCCCCACCCACAGAGCCUGCUGCUUAGGUGGUACCUGGCACCCAGGGUGGACUUCUAUGUCCUGAGCCACCAAGGCUCUCUGGCUUCUGGGUGACUCUUGUUUUCUGAGUCUCUUCUAGUCUUAUAGUGUGCCAAGCACGUUGUCCUUGAUCCUGAGCUCAAGUGUGUCACAGUCAUGUCCCGGGUUGUGCUGCCUUUCCGGUGCUGUAGCUGUGGACUCCACACACCCUCAGACCACUGUCCCACCAUGUGCCUGGUGGCUGCAGACACAGCUACAGUGAAAGUCUGUGACUGCUCAGCUCAGCUCACAUCUUGAUAAACGGCUAAAUUAUCUCUUAAUUGAGUACAAGCAAAACACAAUGGGGGGAAAGGAGAACUGUUCAACACUGCUCGUUCUUCAAGGGAAAUUAAGUGCUCUUUCAUGUCUGAUUUUUUAAAGUGGGUUUAAUGACACCAUUGUGUGGGUAAAGCCAAGGAAAGGCAUCCUCCAGGCACAGGAGGGAUAGUGAUAUUUAAGACAGACCGUGGAAAAGGCCUGCUUCCUGUAGCAUUUCUUAUGUGACUACUCCAACAACCUGAUGUAAAAAUAUUUUGACUGCAGGUAUCACAAAUGACACCCAGGCCCCUUUCUCCCCAGUGUGUGAGGACAAAAGCGGGUUCUCUAAGACCCACACCUUUAAUGAGCCGUCUUACCAGGGACACUCAGAGUCUAAUAGUGUGCCUUUUGGUGAAGUUGUUGAGAAUUUUAAUGCAUUUUAGUUCUCAUUCAUCACGGCCUGUGUGCGCCUCGCAGGAGGGUCCUUAGAAAUAGGAUUAACUUCUAGAGGAAUGCAUUAGCCAUGCCACAGAAGGAGGCAGUGAGCUAACCAGUCUGAUAGGUUAGCUCCAACCUUCAAAUCCUUCAGCUGCCCCUCCCUGGACCCCCGCCCCCUUAUUGACGGCUUCCCGUUGAAUGGCGUUAGUGUAUUUAGGAGUUAGAUGUUUUGUACGAUCCUAGGCUGAUCUCAUAUUCCCUUUCUGAAAUUAAUUCGGCUCUGCUUUACAUGUUAAUCCGCAAAGGAUUGAUUUGGAGAAGGUCAGAGCUGCGCAGCCCCAGAAAACGCAAGGAAAGCCGCACUCAGAGCGGCUCAUUUCGGUUCCCAGACCUAAGCCCGCCUGCCUUUUCAUUGUGACCCUCAGCCAGCUGUAGGAGGCUUGGAGGGCCACAGAAUACAUCAAACACUGGGGUUUGAUGUGGGCUGUAGGAUCGCCGGGCUAAUUAAGUUCAGCUUGGUUAACCAAUUGCAGUUUGCAAAUUGAACAAUCGUACUUUGAAAGCUUUGGACACAAUAGAACACAGAAUCUUCUUUUUAGGCAUAAACAGGCCCAAUAACGGAGUAGCAGCUUCUGAAAGAAGCUUAUGCCAAACCCACACAACUGGGAUGUCUCCAACAUAGAGUUCGUUUCGCUGGUAACAAAACUCCAACCUCUUUUAUUCUGACUUGAGUGAUGUCAAAGGCAAGAAGACCUUAUGCACCAGGCCUGCAAGCCGUUGAGGGAGGGAGGUGCCCAGUGGGUGGAGGGUAGGUGAGUUUGGAGAAUUAAGAGAUUUAAAUUCUUCUUUGAGACGAAAAUUUAAAUCUUGAGCCACAGUCAAACAAUUGUUGGGGAGCUGAUCACCACUGGUACCCGAGAUAAGCAGCAGUUCAGAAGAUGAAAGUCUUGGAUCCAGAAAAUCAAAUUAGAGAAGGCAGGGUCGCUUGGUGAAAAGUCUGAGUGUCGGAGGAGAGGCGGAGAAAACAGUUAAGUCCAGACUGAAUAGAGAUACAAAUGGUGAACACAAAGAAAAGCAUCCGUGCUUUAAUCUGUGCUCGCUGUGUGUGCAGGCAUCCUCUGCUAUUAAGGCCCUUCCCCACUUCGAAACCAAGAUGCUGUGCAAAGGUUUGUUUGCCCCUCUUUGUCCUCUCUCUUUACUGUAAUCUCCGUCUUUAUCAGAGGCUUACUCUGCUCAGAGAAGUCACCUGACCGCCAUGGUGUGUUGGAGCUAAGCAAAGCUGUUCUUCAAGAUCACUGGGAGGAAGGGCUGCCGACUGGACCUGGGGUUUUGCUACUGGAUGUCUUCCUGUGGGGUGGUGGUGGGGACUGGGGGUGUAGCUGAGUCGGUAGAGUGCUUGCCUGGCAUGCAUAGCUCCCUGGAUUUGAUCCCUGGCACUGCACAAACUGGGCGGUGUGGUGCACGGUCGUAAAGUCAGCUCUUGGGAUCAGAAGUUCAAAGUCAUCCUUGACUAUCAAGGGAAUCCAAGCCAGCCUGGACUGUACUACUUCAGAUUAAUAAGUAGAACAGGAAAAUAAGCCAAAUCCUUCUGGGGUUCAGACACUUGAGCAGCUGUCACCGGUCCCCUGUGAAGGCAUCAUCUUUAAACCUUCCUGACAAGGCUCCUGGGUGCAGGAAGGGACUGUCAGCUGCCAGUUUCUCUCACAGCUGGAUAGGAAGCACAUGUCAUGGAGGGUGACCACCUCUAGGCUGAGGGGCCGAGGUGUAGGUGGUUGGGUGUGGUGGCACCUCUUGAGGUCAGCACAGGACCUGCUGCUGCAGUCUUGUACUGGGUCACUCCUCAGUCUGAGGCAGAAUCACCCACAGGAAAGGGACUUUGAAAGUGGUUAUUGCUGCUUUUAUUUGUGGCUGUGGCCAAUAAUGUAAACAAGUUUAAGACCUUUGUACCCUUCUCUCUGGGAAAAUGUCUGGUGGAGCUUUGAGGGGGGGGGCAACCAUCUUUAAUGUGGACAGGGUGAUGCUUUUCUGAAAUUAGCUGUGGCAGUGGGCUGUUUAUAAGAUGAAUUUACAUGCAUGCAUUUAGGACUGACUGAAGAGAGCCGGUGUGGACCAGAUGGUUCUUCCCCUCUGUGCUUCCCCCAACAAGUAUUUCAGAUAGUUGGUGUCGUGGUUGUGAACCUGAGUGAGGGGUGCCGGUCGGAGGAGUCCUGCUGGCUUGUGUCCUGUGUUUGUGGAUUGUCCACCCCGGCAAGACUUCCACACUGGAUUUUUGCAUGUGCUGCUGGUCUCAGCGUCACAGGAAGCAUGCUCAACCAACGCUGCUUGGUUUAUCUGCUCUGCGAUGUGCGUGCUUCCAAUCAGAACUCUUGUCUGAUGUCUCAGCAUUGGACGAGAGUGGUGGUUUCUCACAGCAGGAAGCUUUACAAGGAAAUUCAGAAGAGACGGAAUAUUUAUAUUAACUUCCCUCCUUUUUAAGAGUUGUUUAUUUUCUCUGUGUAUGAGCAUUUUGCCUGCAUGUAUGUCUGUGCACCAUGUAUAUGCCUGGUGCCCCAGAAGGCCAGAAGAGGGCAAGGGCAAUGUACACCCUGGUAUCGGGCUUACGGACAGCUGAGGGCAGCCACGUGGGUGCUGGAAAUGAAGCCUGGCUCGUCUAGAACACAGCGAGUGCUCUUAACCGCAUAGCAGCUCCCCAACCCUGAACUUCAGCAUCGUCAGGAGUGGGAGGAAGUGCAGGGGUGUGAGAGGCCGGCGCUACAGGUGGGGAACAUGUCCGAGUAAGAACCCGGGCAGAAAGUGGGGCCCAAGUAUGGUGGACACAGUGGAAAUCUGGAUGUCAGCUUUGGAUUGGGAGGCACUCGCUCCUUCACCUUCUCUGAAAGAAGAACAUAUCCCUCAGCCUCUAACUCGGGGGGCAGCUGCAGAUGGUCUACUCCGACUGUCGGACUGACUUGCAGGCUCUGCCUAUUCUAUAUGGAAAAUAUGUCCAAGAGCAGCAGCUAAUGCUGAGAAUACCCCAGUGGGAGCAAAGAAAAACGCACACAGCUCACGGGUAGUCCAGAGCCUAGGUGUGCGCUGGCAUCCUGUGGCGGUGCCAUGGUGUUGCUUCCAGCCCCAGCCACCAUUUACCUGUCUGAAAUCCAGUCUGCCUCUUUUGUAGUUUCUCUCUGUGAACUGUAAGGAGGCAGAGUUAAAUGGAUUUAAAAUGGGGGUGGGGGAGAUAAGGUUCAUUGCUCACUGGCUGCCUUCCUCCUCUAUAGCCCAUCACCCCCACCAUCUCUUGCCUAGUUGGGCUUCAGAAAGUGAUGGGUCUGAGCCAGCAGAAUCCAUCUCACCUGGGAAGGCCUCAGAAGGGCCCAGCCCCCAGCCGCCUCUCAGUGUCCACGUAUUAAAUCUUACCAGGUCCCGAGUGUGUUCAGGUUGAGAGGCAGAAUGUGGGAUUUGAGGACACCUUUAUUGUCUACACACACACACACACACACACACACACACACACACACACACACACACACACACACCGUCUCCCUCCCCUCACACCCCUGCUCUCUCACUCCUCCCCUCACCCCAAGCCUUUCCUUCCCAGGUGCCUCCUUUUCUCUUCCUAGGCCGAUUGCCAGAAGUAGAUCAAGUUGUUCAUUUCUCCUUCUCCAUCUUGAAUACUUGUGCCCUGACUUUCCAGAGAAAAUACCAGACUCUUGUUGAAUUUGAGUUUCAGAUAAACACAGGGCAAAUCUUUAGUGUAACUAUACCCCAUGCUCCGGUGCUUGCCAAGCAAACCUGAAGGCCUGAGUUUGAUCCCUGGAAUCAUUAAAAAACAAACAAACAAACAAACAAACAACAAAAAAGGCAGGUGUGGUGGCCUCUUAAUUCCGCCUCAAGAUGGAAGAUGAAGACAGGAGACUCACCUGGAAGCUGAAGGCCCUCUAGCCUGGUCUACAUGAUACCUCAGAGAUAAGGAGACAAACCCUCUAGCCUGGUCUACGUGACACCUCAGAGAUAAGGAGACAAACCCUCUAGCCUGGUCUACUUGACACCUCAGAGAUAAGGAGACAAACCCUUGCCCCAGCCAGAACAAUGUGGGAACCGAGAAAUAACCACAAAGCUGCCAUCUGCCUUCACCCAGGUGCAUAGGCAGGGACUGUCCCAAGGUAGGGACACUUGGGACAGACAGAUACAGAUUUUAAAAAAGUGUGAAAAGGAAAAAAGAUAUUAAAAUCGUACUUCAUUGAAGGAAAGAAGGAAGAAAGGGUAGGAGGAGGGAGGAGUGUGGGGAGGAAGUGUUUAGUAGGUCUGACCUAGAUACAUUGUAGCUUAGAGCCAUAAGGCACAGUUGAGACUUGUGACUGCCCUUAUAAUUCAGGGCCAUCCACACUGACUGUUGUUUAACGGAAACUCACGUUUACAUUAGAGUCCCAUCACUGUGACAAAAUGCCUAAACACAAUCAACUUCUAAAAGGGCAAGGUUUAUUUUGAUUCAUGAUUUUAGAAGUUCUAGUUCAGUGGUUCUCAACCUGUGGUCAUGAACCCUGUGGUGUGGUCAGACAACCCUUUCGCAGGGGUCACAUAGCAGAUGUCCUGCAUAUAGAUGCUUACAUUAUGACUCAUAAGAGUAGCAAAAUUACAGUUAUGAAGUAGCAACGAAAAUGAUUCUACAGUUGGGGUCAGCACAACAUGAGGAACUGUGUUAAAGGGUUGAAGCAUUAGGAAGGGUGAGGUCUCUAGUCAUGGCCGCUUGACCCCAUGGGAUCUGUGGUGAGGCAUAAUAUAAUGGUGGGAGUGUUUGGAGGAAGCUGCUCACCUGGAGACUAGGAAGUGAAACAGGUAAGAAGGGACCAGAGUCCUAGUAUCCUUAUCAGAGACACCCUCCAUGAAAGGCCUUCCACAACCGCCUUGAGGUGCCCUCACCUCCCAAUACAGCCUUCAACACAUAGCCUUUGGGGAUAAGGAAAUCCUCACUCUCGCUGGGCCUUCUGUGUUUUCAUCUGUGAAGUCUGACAGUAUAGCUGGAAGAAAGCAAAGCUCCACUGUGGAUGUGGGGUGUGUGAGCCGGGCUCAGCAGAGUCGUCCGCUCUCCCCAGUCCCUCUGCGCCAGUCUUGAAAGGGUUCUGAUGCUCUGAGGGGUCAGUGAGGCCCCUCUGGCUUCUGUGGUAUGGUGGUUGGUGCAUGUGUUAGGAGAAGGUGGGGGCUGGAGACCUCAAGGGAACAUUUCUGCCAAGUCUCUAAAGAACAAGAGCGCUAGUACCUGCUCUCCCGGGAAGUCCACUGAGUGGGAGGACACGAUUUUCCAUCAGGUGGCUUUAGGUGGGAAAGCUGGCAGUUGGAAAUUUUUGGAAGAGAAAAAUACAUACUAGUGUUUUCGUUUCUGUGGGGUGGGGGUUAGGCUUAUGUUAGGUUUAACUAUUGGGCUCUCUUACUGGAGGAGCCACCUGAAGUGCUGGCCCAGUCACCUCAUUAGGCAGAGGGCUCACAGCUGUUUCUCCAUGAGCGCCUGACCUAACAUUUCUCAUUGUUAGGUACUUCCAGAUGAAGGGGUUUGACUCAAAUGCCCCAAAGCAGUGAGUCUUGGAGCUGAGGUUCCAGCGUGCACCAUGACUUUUUUGCUUUUAAUGUCACUUAAUAAGUUGUACAUACAUGUUCCGAGAGGAAUUAUGGGCUGCUUUGCUCAUUACACACUUUCCAACUCAUAAUUGUGUUGGCACCAAGUGCUGGCAUCGUUUUGCAAGAAGCCGGCAUGUGACUUGGUCCUCCUGAACCUCCCCAUCCUUCCAACUGAAAAUGGCUUCAGACCAUUUCUUAGCAUCUGCUUCUACCACAACCCUCCCGGCACCCCAAGAGGUGGUCAGCCCUGGCCAGUUCUUUCAGGACUCCAAGGAAUAGCUCAGCCCUUCACAGGGUGUAUCCUGCUGUUGGCACGAUGACUUGUGGCGCACAAAGAAGUGUGUCUCUGGGCCUGGGGCAUGAGAGAGAUUAUCCAGGAAAUGAUGUGGUGGAGGAACUGGACGUGGGGGUUUUAGAACCCUGGCUGUUUAGGCAGCGUGUGUUUGCGUUGCUUAGGACCAAGAGGCGGGUGCCGAAGAAUGCUGAGUGGAUUUAUAAUCUGCCGAAGUGACGCUCUCAAUACCAGGAAAACCAUCCCUGCGCUUUUCAUAUUUGUAAGAUGUGUAGCAUGACUUCUUGUCUGUGUGACUUGUUUCCUUUGAGAGGAAGAAAAUGUCAGAUGUGAAAUUUUUAAUUUGUCCCUUCUCCCUCUCUUCUGUAAGCCACUGUAAUAAAUCUUGUGUUUUUGUGUAUGUAUAUGUGUGUGUAUGUGUGUGUGUAUGUGUGUCUGUGUGUGUGUCUGUGUGUUUGUGUGUCUAUGUGUCUGUCUGUAUGUGUGUCUGUGUGUAUGUGUGUGUGUCUGUGUGUAUGUGUGUGUGUCUGUGUGUAUGUGUGUGUGUCUGUGUGUGUGUGUCUGUGUGUAUGUGUGUGUGUCUGUGUGUAUGUGUGUGUGUCUGUGUGUGUGUGUGUGUGUGUGUGUGUGUGUGAUUUAUGUGAGUAUCAGUGUGUACCUGCCACAGCCCAUGAGGAAAGCAGAGGACAGUUCCCAGACUCCCAGAUUUCCUAAGGGUCUAUCCUGUCUGCCUCGCAUCUCAGCACAGGACCCUGGGCUUGCAGGAGCUCACUGAGGCACUGGUCUUUAUGGGUUCUGUGUGGUGAGGCAAGUGCUGCUGCCUGCCGAGCCACUUCAGCUGGACACUUCUUUCCAUUAUAAACUCUCUAAAGUUGGUACAUGGUGCUUGUUUCUGGAGGAACUCACUUAACAAAUUAAGCAAACACUUUAAUUCAGAAAUAUUAAAAGCUGUACUGGGUAGCUUAUGAAGUCUUACUUUUUAAACGUCAACCUACUGUAAACAGUAAUGUUCCAAGCCCUCUGCCAGGUUUUCGCCUAGGCUGGACUGUGUCUUAUUCCACAGCUCACCGGCAUUGGAUACACUGUGUGCAGUGAUACCCGACCGUCAUCCAGCAUGCAAAAAAUAUGAUAAAAUAAUCCAGUAGGUACAGAACCAUGCAUGAUGAUACAAAGUGAUGUGGAACUCUGGGUUUGUUAGCAUGACUGUCUGUUAAGAUGUGCAGACCUGGUGCUAAGGAGGGCAGAAAUUUUCUUGUCUCUGUGAAAUCUAUUGGGGACCUGUUACUCCUGACUAGAUAAAACUCCGAGAAGCAGAGAGAGAUGUUGGAGGAGGGUCUUGUGCUCUGUGUAUUCCAAUGCUGAUUUCUGUGCCGGGACACAGCAUUGCCUGGAAUAUUGAAGAAUCUCCAGUAUCAGUGUGCUGUAAAAAAAAAAAAAAAUGAUCCCCAGUUCUCUCUGAUUGGUCCCUAAAGGGCUGAACAGCCAGUGAUGGGCAGAGGAGAUAGAAAGUCUGGACUUCCGGUCUAGAGAGAAGAGCAAGGCAGAAGGAGUUUGCCAAGAGGCAGGUGAGGGUCCAGGAGAAGAAGGGUCAGAGGUCAGUGGAGGAAGAAAAAGGAGGUCACCAUGAGGUCAGGCUGGAGGAGGAAUCGCCAAGGGACCCAUUAAGGACACACAUGGAGCAGACAGAGCAAGCCAAGGAGAGACAGAACACAAGUAACUCAGUCUGUGGUGGCUGGGAAGUAGCUAAGAUAGCAUAGAGGGUUAGGAAUAGCUAGCUGCUCAGUUAUUGUGCUUAAAGCUUAUAGGUCUUGUCUCAAUUACUUGGGAGCUAGCCAGGUUAGGAAAACCUGUCGCCUUUAAAUUUUAUCCUAUCGAGAGAUACUUUUCCCUUUUCCCUGGUGAUUCCAUAAGACUGCUACCUCACUACACACCACACGCACCUUGUAGCCAUGGGGACUGGUUUCUGUGUAACCACUUGGUAGGGCUAUGGGUGCUAGCCCCAGCUCCUGUCAUCCAUACUCUCCCCAGGUGUCAACAGCAGGUGGGGUCGCAGGUGAGACCUCUGGAAGCAGGCAUUUGGAAGGUUCCAAGAUUAACCAUGACACAUGGGUACCAUGAAUGGGAAGGAAGGCUCUGUAAAUUAUUUGAACUUCAGAACCACAUUUCUCCAAGGAGUAUAUUCAUUCAUAUUCAUUCUCUCUCUCUCUCUCUCUCUCUCUCUCUCUCUCUCUCUUUCUUUCUCCCCCAGUCCCCAUAUUCUUGGUGGUUUCAGGGAAUCUAGAUAUUUCCCAUGGAUACCUAGGCCCCCAAGAGAGCCUCUGUCUCUCCAUUGGCAGCAUGCUGGGGAAUUUGGAACUAAACUUUUCAACCAACUUACUUCCCUCCCUCCCUCCAUCUCUCCUUCCUCCCUUCCUCCCUUCCUUCCUUCCUUCCUUCUUUCCUUCCUUCCUUCUGAUAGGAUGUCAUCUAUCCUAGGUUGGUCUCUGUCUAAUUCUCUGUAUUGUCAAAGACGACCUUGAACCUCCCUGUCUGUCUGCAAAUACACUUAGUGCUAGACAGGCAUGCGCUACCAUGUGAUGCUUCCUGGAUGCUAGCAAACACUCUACCAACUGAGCUACAUCCCAGGCCUAAACCUUUCUUAAAAUUUGUUUUUAUUAUUCCUAUAUUAAGAUUUAUAACAUGAGAUUUGAUUCUCAUAUAUUAUGGAUUUUUUUUCAUGUAUAAAUAUGUUGCCUUCUCUUAAUGACUUUAUCUAAUAAAGCUUUUAAUUUAAAAUGCUGUAUAAAAAUGAAUAUUUGCCUUUCAAAUUAUAUCAACUCCACGGGGGAUGUAUAAUUUAAAAGGACCCUGUGUCAGCUUGGAUUUUGGAUUCUGCUAUUUGCUAGAACCUAUGAUGGGGGAGGGGGCAGGUAGAAAUGCUAAGGAAAAAGGAGCUGGAGAUGGGAGAAGUGAAGAUAUCUACUGACCCUGCUGGGGUACGGAGAGGGCACUGAUUAGCUUGUACCCUCCACCCAUUCUCCCACUUGGCUCCAGGGCUUUGCUCAUUUAGCUCGCAUGAAUUCUGUCCAUCGGAGUUCACCAGACAACUUUUGGUUCCCUGCAAUUGUUGUGAGUAAUUUGAAAAUGAUGAUCACCCCUGAUUCCUCUCUGCAUUCCCUUCACGCCUAGGUGAGUGCCUAGGCAAGUGCAAGCAAUGGUGAAUGCUGGGUAAAGGAACAUUUGGUUUGAAGUUGGUUCUUGUACUGAAAUGGUGUACAUUCCUUCCAGAGCCCUUGCUUGACUUUGUAAGGGAAGCCUGUGUUUUUGUAUCAAGAUCCAGGUAGCAAAGACUGUUGCGUUACAAUAUGGCUGGAUAUUGAUAAUGUAUAUGUUUAAUGGUUUAAGGUAAAUGUAUCCUUUUAACACUUAAGUAGAUCCUUUCUGUUGUGUUACAAUGUGACUGGAUAUUGAUGUGUAUAUGUUUGGUUUAAAGUAAAUGUAUCCUUUUAACCUGUACUAGAGCAUUUUAAAACUGGACAAAGUAGGAAAUGCCUGUAAUAGCAACAUUUAGGAGGCUAAGGCAGGAGGAUCACUAUGAGUUUAAGGCCAGCCUAGACUACAUAGCAAGAUGUUGUCUUUUUCAAAAAAAAAAAAAAAAAGCAGGCUUAUUUCAGAUUAAAAUUUAACUGUGUGUCCCCCCCUCCUUUAGUUUGGGUGGGCUCUGGGUCAGCUUUGACCACUGACAUCCCAGCGAUUGACAGCUUCCAUAUCUGCUCUCUUGGAACACUCUUUAGAAGCCCACACAGCUUCAUGAGGAAGAAUUAAAUCUCAUCUAGUUUUGGCUAAGUUUUUGAUUGCCACCACUCUGGCAACCUGUAACCGUGCCAUAACCAUGCCAUGCUGAUGUGGCUGCUGCCCCUGGUAAAGCUGCCCCAGCUUCUGCAGGUAUGAGUCAGACCAACGGUGGGGCUUUGUAAGGCACUGCGCUGUGGCGGUUUAUUUCCCCCGCACUGAAAAACCACAGGAGAUUGAGUAGGAAAUCCAUAUGUCAGUUAGGCUAGACAUCUAACCUGUGUGCUUGAAACUGUGUGCCUGCCCUCCUGAGGCAGUAGGGGGACAUCUGUCCACUGGGCUCUUGGGGAGUCCUGAGUAAAACUAUGUCCUGCAGAGUGCUGUCUCUUUCCUGGCCCUCCAGUUUUUGUCCUGAAUCAUCAUUCUGUUGAUCCUAUUGACUUGUUUUGGCUUGCUUUCUUCUCUGUGGCCAGAGAUUCCAGUCUCUUGGAGGCCAGCAUGGUGUCUGGUUUGUCCCCAGUGCUUUGCUGGUGUCUGGAAUAUUAUAGGUCAGGGUGGGGACACUAGGAAUUAGUAAUUAAUAACAUUGAGGUGCCAUUUUCAUCCAGGGAUCUCAAUCAGCCCCUCUCACACGAGUGGCUCAUAGACUAGAGUUAACAAGUCAUUCUGGCCUGGAAUGGGGAGGUGCCACCCGAGAGUCACUUUCCUUUGAUGGGACUGUCAAAGCAGAGAGAGUGGUGGAAAGAAACCAGCUUGUCUCUGGUCUGUGCUAAUACAAGAUGCAGCAUGAAAACCACUUGACUCUGGAUUUAGUUCUUUUUUUUCCGGAGCUGGGGGACUGAACCCAGGGCCUUGCGCUUCCUAGGCAAGCACUCUACCACUGAGCUAAAUCCCCAACCCCUUGACUCUGGAUUUAAUCCCUGGUUUUAAGCCAUGACCUUACCAAAGAGUAGAAUAGAUUUUCCCCCCAAAUUUUUAACUAAUAAUUUAGACACUCUUGAAUGUUGAGGGGAUGGCAUAAUGAACAGAAGUAUAGAACACACAUAGACUCCACGGUGAGUAAUAUUUUGACCCUGCUUCAAGGAAAUACUACUCCCGCUGGCCCUACUGUGCUUCUUUUACCAAUAAGACUUCUCUCUGGAGUGACAGUGCUGCUCAUAUAAACAUUGGCUCGUUGGUGUUCAGUCUGGUCAGAGUCUUCACUUGUAUGAUGUGUCUUGUGUGGCUGUGUACUUCUAACCAAGACGCAGCCACACUUACACAUUGCACUGCUUGUGUUUCCUUAAUCAGCUUUAAAAAAAAAUUACACCAGCUAUGUGAAGAGGCCAGUCUUAAGGAAUAUUCCAGAUUAUGAGUUUGACUGAGUCUUGUAUGCUAGAAGUUAAGACCAAGAACAUGACUCCGUCCAGGACACCCUGAGUAAGGACAGCCCUCCCCACCCCACCCCAACAUUGGGCCACUUACCCAGGUCUUAUUAGCAUAUGAGCCCGCCCUCUUGGUGAGGCAGUAUGCGUGGGCUCCUCCAUUAUACAUAGAAACUCCCUUUCCGGUAAGCUGUCAUAGUUGCACAGAUCUGAGCCUGAAAUACCUUCCUUGGGUUGUGUGGUUAAGGUUUGGUCCCCAGCUGCUACCUUGGGAGUUGGUGGGAACUUCAGAAGCUGGGCCUGGUGGGAGGAACCAGGACAGAGGGAAGGGUGUCUCCAAGGUUUUACUUGGUCCUAGUCCUUUCCCUUCCCUCUGCUUCCUGGCUACGUGAGGUGAGCAUUUCUCCCCCACCUCCGGGUACAGGACUUGUCUCCCCUCACUUCCUAAAGGAGGGUGGGUGGUUUGAAUAGGAAUGGCCCCCACAGGCUCAUAGAUUUGAAUGCUCAGUCACCAGCUAGGCGGAACUCCUGGAAAAGAUUAGCAGGAUUAGGAGGUGUGGCCUUGCUGGAGAGAAUGUGUCACUGCUGGUGGGCUUUGAGGUUUCAAAAGCCCUGCCAGGACCAGUUUUGCUCUGUCUGCUGCCAGGAUGUACCUCUCCACUACUGCUCCAGCAACACACGUGUCUGCCUGUGUGCCGCCAUGCUCCCCACCAUAACAGUACUGGACUAAGCCUCUGAUACUGUAAUCGAGAUACCUGUAAGUCUUUUAUUGUAUAAGCAUUGUCUUGGUUAUGACUUUUCUUCACAGCUACAGAAUAGUAACUAAGACAGAAAAUAGGUAGCCAACCAUGGUCUUAAACCAUGAGCUAACUCCACCCCCAACCCCACUCGCCUUGCCCCCAAGUCUGCCCUUUCUAUGCCAGAUGGGACUUGGUUCUCCAAUAACUACAGCUGUCCUUGCCUGGAUCAGUUAUUUUCUUGCACUUGUAAAUUGGUGAUUUUUCUUACUAUCAGUUCAACAUUCUUUACCUAGUAUUUCGUAAAGAGUAAUUUUAUCUUUUCUUUCCUUCAGCCAGUAGGCUGCAACAGUGUGCUUUUAUCUAACACGCUAGAUGCCUUAUUCUCUUUGCUUACCAGCCCCAGGUUUGGCCCUGGAGAGCCCUUCAGGCCGGUUCUCAUUCCUCUAACUCAGUGGCUCUCACCCUUCCCAAGGCUGAGACACUUUAGUACAGUUCCUUGUACUCCCCCAACCAUAAAAUUAUUUUCAUUGCUACUUUGUAAUUUUGCUACUGUUAUGAAUCAAAAUCUGAUAUGCAACCCGUGUGAAACCUCAGAAGGGGUUGCGACCCACAGGUUGAGAACUGCUGGUCUAACCCUGGAGAACUGUUCCCCUUGCACCUCUUGAGCUAAUUCCUUUCUCUCUGCCACCCACUUUCUGCUAUCUCUGCCCUUCUCAUUUCGGAAGGAUUUGAUUUCCUCUAAUAAAGGAUGGUAUCAGGAGACUCCUGCUUCGGAGAAGGACAGGGAGGGGACAGCUCUUCUUUCUCCUCCCUCCCCCUUCAUGCCCAGCCAGUGGAGGAGGUGGGAGACACCCUUGGCACAGGUGCAGGUAGAAAAAUACAGAGUCAGUACAGGGCCCAGUGCAGAAGGCACGAUGAGGGAAGAGAAAGCCAGUGAGGAGAACCCCAAAUUCUGACCCCAUCAAUCUUUGGCUUUUGAGCCAUACAGCCUCCAAGCUCCUCAGAUGGAUUUGAACUGUGCCUGGAGCUGUUUCUUUCAAGACACAGAAAUUGAAGAUUCGACUCAGCCGAGGAAAUUGCCAGUCAGAGCGAAAUAAGCAACAAUGUAAGAAGAAAAGUAGCCAACCCCAGAUCCUCCACGGCUUAGCACUCCAGUGUUUAGGAGAAGCUAAGUGUGGCACUCCCCCGCAAGGGCAGCUUGUAGAAUGCAGGCCGCUUGACCCCAGCCUAGUGGGGAGCUACAUAUGGCCCUACCCUGCUAAGACAUGCCCCCCCAUCCCCACCCCUACCUCCACCCCGUGCCCACAGGAAGUGCAGAUAGGAAAGAAGAGAAGUGAUCAAACCUAGAACAGAGUGGAAAUUCUGGAGCUAAAAUUACUGUCACAUUACCUGUGUGUGUAUCUUCUUAUUGGACGGCAGGGAGUACUGGGACUUGAACCCAGGGCCUCGUGACCCAACCCCUACUAUUGUCUCAGAUUAAAAAAUAAAUCGCGGGCUGGAGAGAUGGCUCAGCCGUUAAAGGCUAGGCUCACAACCAAAAAUAUAAAAAAUAAAUCGCUUAGUGGUUAUAGUUGAGAGGAAAUGAAGCAAAGGAAAGGGCAAGUGGAGCAGAAGGAGUAAUAGAAGGAACCGAUAGCAAUUUUUAAAGAAAUUGGUAAGAAAUAGUUGUAGAUAUAAGAUGCCCAGACAAUGCCAAGCAGGAGAAGUAGCAUUUGAAACCCAGGGAUUCUUUCAGAGUAUUAAACUAAAGGCAAGGAGCAAACCCUGGGGACAGGAGUAAUACAGGAUAACAGUGGCAUCCAAUUCAUUUGGACUUCUCAGGAUCCAGAGAAACAGAACAGAAGGAGAUGGUGUCUUUUUGAAGCCCUGAAGGGAACAAUUUCCACUCUGACUUCUAGGAGACCCAUCUUUUCCCAAGUGAAGGGCAAAGAAGAGCAUUUGGGGUUCAAAGAAAAUCCGUAACUCAUCACCAGCAGACCCAUCGGUGUGACACAGGUUAAAGCGACCUCUGUGAGGGGGAGAUAACAGCACGUGGAGCCCGGGUCCUGGCAGGGGCCAUGACGAAAACCAACUGCUUGAUAGGUACCAAGCGCUGCUUGGUGCGCCUUCCCGGUAUUUGAUUAACCGCGUAACUGUUUAGAGCAAGGAUCAUUCCCCGGCCUCAUGGGGGUCAUAACCUCCGUAGAUGCGGCUCACACGCGCGCGGAACAACUCCAGCCUAAAGUGGUGGCUACGGGCCUCUGCGGUUCUAAGGUUUCCCCAUUGUACAGGAAGUGGUACAGUAUUGACUGUGGCGGGUUAUAAAAAGUUACGGCAUAUGCUGUGGUCCCUGGUGCAAUAACCUAAAACUGUAAAGAGAGAAGACCGAGAAGCUAGUAGGGAAAUUCGAAUGAGUAUCCCGGUAAUUUUUAAGAAGCAGGAAAUGAGAAGCAGGGGGAUACAUACGAUUUUAAUUUUUUAAAAACAAGUAAAAAAAAAAAAAAAGAACCAGUUUCUACAAAUCAAGUCAUAACAAGAUGAUGAAUGAUCCAAAUAUCCAUUGUAAAUCAGGUUUGGGGGGGUGGGUCUUCCGAAUGCAUGUGCACACAUACAUACACAUGCAUACACACUGUACCUACCACACAUGCACACUACCCCCGCUGGUGCACACUCCCCCACACAUGUGUACUAUACUCCCAUGCUAUCCAACCCACUCUCUUUAUAUUUUUGUUUAUUAUUGUUCUUGGGUAGGGUGGGGUGGGGUGCAAAUGACGCAGCGCAUGUGUGGAAGCCAGAGGACAGCCUUGUAUGUGGGUUAGUUCCCUGCUCCUACAGUUCCAGGGUCAGACUCCAGGGAUCCCCAGGGCUGCCCAGCACACCUGUUUCCUGCUGAGCUGGCUCACCUGCCUGAAUCAGGUGUUUUGAAGAACAUUUAUUAGCAGGAGAACUUGCUCACACCCUGCAGUGAACACAGCAGCAAACUCCAGCAGUGGCUUCUGACAGUGCUUUUGUUGGUGGUGGUAGUGAUCAAUGUGGUGGUUUCUCCUCCUCCCCUCCUCCUCUCCCUCUUCCUCCUCUCCCUCUUCUUCCUCCUCUUCCUUCUCCUCCUCCUUUGUCCUCUUCCUCCUCCUCUCCCUCUUCCUCCUCCUCUUCCUCUUCCUUCUCCUCUUCUUUCUCCUCUUCCUCCUCCUCUUCUCCUUCUCCUCCUUCUCCCUCCUCCGUUUCUUCCUCCUCCAACUAUAGAAAACAAAUUAGAUCAGUUUUACCAAAUUAUCUUUUGGUGGUAGAGUUGUGGGUACUUCAGGUUUUGCUUUUCUCUGUUCUUCAGAUUUUCCACAGUAGAGAGUUGUUACAAAAUCUACCCUUUAGCCGCUGUUGGGAUAAAGCCAUGUUAGGACACUGUGCUCUGUAUUCUCAUUUUGUGCCAUCGCCAAAUUUAUAUUUAUUCUAGUGGUUUUUAACUUAUUUAUUUACUUAUCUACUUGUUUUUUGAGAUGGAUUCUCACUAUGUAGCUGUGGCUAGAGCUGAGUCUGUAGACCAGGCUAGUCUUGAGCUCCCAGAGAUUCACCCGCCCCCGCCUCCCAAGUUCUGGGAUUAAUGGUUUAUACUAUCACAUCCAGCUCAUUUAGAGUUCCUAAAUCUGUAAUGUUGUAGUGUAAGACCAUAGAACUGCUUGGGUAUAUGGUCUGUUACUGUCUGUUUUUAUGCAGUUGAGUAUUGCCAGGACCUGGAAGUGCUCACCUGUGGUUCCUCAGUGAUGCGGAGUCAAGGGUAACUGACAUCCCUUUUCCACUUCGAGUGGGAUCAAGUCAAGAAGUGCUUGGUCCAGAAAGUGUCCAUCACACACAGUCAACACACCGGUGGUGCUUUCUACGUAUGGUGAGGGCGUACCCCUGAGCAUGUGGGUCCCCUGCAGAGCUGAGUGCCAGCAGCAGCUAUAGCAGUCUGUACACACGUGAUAAGAAGGGACGGGCCACCAACAGUCGGCAUCUUAGGGUGAUCAGUUCUGGACAACUGUGCCUGAAAACCAGUUUACCCUGGCCUGUGCUUCACAAGUGUUCCUUGCUGAAUGCUCCGUCUGUGAUAGGAAGCCAAGCUGCUUCUAUGGGACAUGAAGGAUGACAUGGAGAACCAAGAAAGCCUGGAGAAGCAAGCUGACAGGCUGUAGGAGCCAUGAGAAAAGCUUCAUGAUUGACAUUCUACCGAGAGAGAGCUAAGUGAAAGAAACAAGCUUGGAGGUGGAUCCUCCCCAGCCAAGCCUGAAGGUGGCCGUGGCCCAGGCUGACACCAGGAUUACAGUAGUGUGGAGACCCUGAGCCAAAGGCACUUAGCACAGCCCCGCCAGAUCCACAGGAGCUAGGAGAUAAUCAACCCGUCUGCCUCCUCUUUCCUGUAUUUGGAAGGAGGGGCUGAACACUGGGGCCACAAAUCUAGCUUUAAGGAAGGUUUCUUCUGUAAGUCAUAGGAAUAAGGAUUUAACAUUUGAAGGGUUUAACAUCAUGCAGUUUGUAAACCAUUCUAGGAGCUGUUUGGGGUCUGUGAAGUGUUGUGGGGAGAAACAGCACGUCUGAAAAUAUUUUGCUGAUAGAGAAAUUGGUUCUUCUCAAGUCACUGUGUGUCACUUCAGCAGCCCCUUUGCAAGGCAGACUUCACACCAGAUGCAGUCGCCAUGACUGUAGCCCUCCUCACACCAUUCCUGGCUCUGUUAAGUGCCCCCAGUGUGGAGAAUUAAGCCACAGUAAAAGUAUACUGUGGAUUUUACUGAGAGGUCACGGAGCGCCCCUCUCCCCUUGGCAGUCAGCAGUGCUCUGAUUACUUUCCAUUUAUCUAGUUGGGAGGACUCAGAGGACCAGCUGGGCCCCUGUCUGUACUCAUCAAGAGUUAAUUUCUGAGAGAGGUGCAGUGGUCAUGAACAAGUGCAGAAGGUACCCCGGUGGUCCUGCCAGACAAGAGGGGCCCUUAAUUAGCAGCAGCGUUCAAUCAGGCAGCUUAACCCGCCAUGAGCUGGAGAGGUCAUGUCCUUCCUGCCACCCUGCCUAUAAACACAGACCCAGAGCCAGGCAGCCUGGGAGGAGGAGCCACCUAAACACAGGGAAGUCAGCACAGAUCUGAGCCUGAGCCUGACAUUGCUUCAGGGCAUACCCGACCAGAGUGUGUGUGUGUGUGUGUGUGUGUGUGUGUGUGUGUGUGUGUGUCUGUGUGUGUGUCUGUGUGUGUACCUGUGUGUCCAUAUGGGGCCAUGUAUGUACCAAUGUGUCCAUAUGGGUAUGUAUGUAUGUGUGUGUACCUGUCUGUCCAUAUGGUAUGUAUGUGUGCACUUGUGUGUUCAUAUGGGUAUAUAUGUGUUUGCCUGUGUGUGUGCACCUGUGUGUCCAUAUGUAUGUGUGCAUCUGCAUGUCCAUAUUGGGGGAGUAUAUGUGUAUGUGUGUAUAUGGCUGUAUGUGCACGUGUGAGAGAGUGUAUGUGUAUAAGCUGGAUGCCCAUAAGGCCGCGUGUGCAUGUAUCUGCAUCUGUGUGUCCAUAUGGCUGUGUGUGCAUAUGGGUGGGCAUGACUCUGUGCAUGUGUGUCGAAGCCAGAGGUUGACAUCUGAAAUCUUCUUCUUUUGCUCUCCCCUUAUAUUUUGGGAUAGGGUCUCUCAGAACCUAGAGUUUGAGGUUUUGGCCAGUGAGGCCCUGGGACCCACCUGUCUCUGCCCCGAGGUCUGGGGUUGCGGACAUGGACCACCCUACCCAGUUUCAUGUGGGCACUAGGGAUUUAAACUGAAGUCCUCAUGCUUGCCCAGCAAGCACUUCACACACCGAGCCAUCUCCCUGCCUGUAACCAUCACCGCUCACACUUGACUAAGUUCUCAGAGAAGCUAUUGUUUAAAAUCUGGGAGUGUCUUUGGCAACUUCCUAUCUCUGGAACUGGACACUACUCGGGCCUUCUUUCCUCACUGUUGGAACAUCAUAUGCUGUGCUAUCCCUGGGGUCACAUGCCAAUACAGAUGGCAGAGUGGGAAGUCAGAGGCCCUUGCUAGCCUGAGAGCCACCAACUCACAUGAUUCAGCUACAAAAUGAGAUGGACUGGACUUGUUCUGAGCUCUCAGAGCAGAGAGGAUUCUGGUCUCAACACACACAAAUGUCAGGUGACCGCAGAUGAUAGACUUGGGGUCUUUGUGUCUUAUUCAUUGUAGCCGAGGUCAGCACUCAUCCCUGUGGUAUGGAGAACACCAGGAACCCAGUGUGGUUAGUGUCCUUCCAUUUAGAGAACAGCUCUUCACCUCUGCACCGCAGAGCAGACAGGACGCAUUGGGCUUUUGGGCUAGGUGGCUCUGAUGUACUUUGAGGCCCCCAAAGAAUCCAAGACUGGGUAUGGGAAGAAGAAAUAAAGACCCUCAACCCCUGCCGAGAUGUCCAGUUGUCACAAACCAUGCAGACACACAGAGCUGAUACCAACAGGCGAGUUGUGUGUAGAGGUGUGGGUCAGUAACUCGGAAAUAGCCUUGUAGACACUUAGAGCAGACCUGGGUGCUCAUAGCUUCUAGGGUUUGAGGGAACCCAGAGUAGUCCCUGAUCCCAGCCUAUAACUACCUUAAUUUCCUUUGUAAAUGUAGCUGAAAAUCCAUCCCGAUCAAAGAACCCAAGAAAGAAAAUUGAGAGCAGUCGUGUGUGUGUGUGUGUGUGUGUGUGUGUAAGUGUGAAAGAGAUCCCUCUGGGUGGGGUGGGGUAGGGGUGGUGGAAUGAACACCAGUUUUGAGUGCUGCAUGGGGUACAGGAAAAGCUAACGCAGCCUCAUGGAAGCUUCGUGGCGCUCACUCAGUCCAGCAGCAGCCAGCGAGCCUGUAGGAAGAUCAGAGCGGCACACACGUUCACAUGGGGAGAAGUGCUUAGUGUUUUCAAGGUGACACAGAGCUCAAGCUCCAUUCUUUAGUUACCUGGCUGAUGGCAAUCGAGAACACUAUGUCAUGGCCCAGUGAAGCAUUGUGUCUGCAUAGGAGAGGAAACUGACCUACCGACUGGGAUUUGUCCUCAGUAAAGGCCGCCAGUCCGGUGCGCAUGUGUGUACAGCCCUCAAUCAUGAUGGAGACAUGGAGACCAAAUUGUCCAUUACACUGUCUGAUCCUGACCGUUUUCUGAAAUGGAUAUUUGAUCACAAAUUCAUUUCGGCAUUGAAGACUGUUUUUCUUAGCCUUGUAAAUUUUUUUUAAGUCUAUGGUUUUUCUCGUCUUCUUUCUACUCUUGCUUUGCCAACAUGGAUACGAUUCAUGCAGAGAAAAAGGAACUGAGGAAUAAAUCAGUCACAGGAUAGAUCUUGCAGCCAAAACCUGCCAGAGCCAGGAACUCUGUUAGGGGAAGCCAAAGGCUGCAGCCACAUGCAGGAACCUCGCCGUGCCUCGUGGGCAUAAACUGGAACCUUGGCAAUAAACCUUGGCUGGAUACAAGGUCGCCCUGUGCGAGUACUCCUGGACUCAGUUGGAUACUGCACGUUCCACUCAUUUUGAGAAGAGGAAAUCAUUGUUUUUAGUGUUUGUAAAUCCCCUCCAUGCUUAGCAGAGAAAUGCUGGUGCUUUAGACAGAGGAGGUGGCAUCACUUCUGCAAGUGUCUUCCCGUCCAUCUCAGCAACACCAUGGCAUCAUGUACUGUGUCUUUAAGCUUAGUCAGGCCAGCUCUCACCAUAGUAGCUAGUGCGAGGCUUGGCCUUGCUUUUGGUUAAGGGGACAGGGUCAUGAGUGCACAUGUGUGUGGAGGUCAGAGGUUGACACUGAGCCUCUUCUUCAAUUAGUCACCUUAUUUUUAAAGACAGGGCCUCUCACUCAACUUGAAACUGGCCAGUUCAACUAGUAGCUUGCUGCCUUGCCCCAUGGUUCCUACUGUCUCUACCUUCCAAUGUUAGGCUUAUAGCUGCAUGCUUGGAACCUGGCUUGUUAUAGGUGCCAAGAAUCCAGACUCAGGGUCUCAUGCUUGCACAGCAAGGGCCUUACUGACAGACUGAACCAUCUCCCUGGGCCCCUCCACACUCAAGUGGCUGGUGACAGGCAAGAGCUGCCUGGCUGCUCACACUGCCAUUGUUGGGUCCUCAUGAGUCUCAUGGGGACUGUACCAUGAUCGGGUGACACUACACGAAAUCCAUCGGCAGCACGAAGCUAACCCUAAAGGUAACUCUAGCUUGAGUCUUUCCCAAGAGCUGUGAUGUUCCUGAAAUCCAAUGCAGAGUAACGAAAAGGGCUUGAUCCCCAGGCUCAGGGGGAACUCAGGGUUUAGCGCUAUCUUCUCUAACUCUCAGCCUGUCAACUUUUUCUAAAUGUGUAGAAUGCUCCAAGGGAGAAACAGCAUAUGGUGGGAAGCACAAUGAGAACAAUGUAUCAAAUACAAUUUUCUAUUGUGCGCAAUGAGAACAAUGUAUCAAAUACAAAUCCACUGUCAUGCACAGUGGGGAGAGCACAGUGAGAACAUGUAUCAAAUACAAACCGUGUACUAUGCACAGUGGGGAGAGCACCCUGCAAGCCAUUCCCAGCCUCACUGUUUCCUCUUUGUUGCCUGGGUGGCCAGAUGGGGUGAGUAUGAAGGGUGCCUUUUCUAGAUCUCUUUCCUGGGAGCCCCAACUCUCCCUUUCCCCUCUGUAGUCAGGUAGGAAUAUGAUGGCCUCACAUGUUGGAGUAGGCCUGAAGUCCGGAGCCACCACUUGGAGGAAAGCUGAGUGACAGCAUUGAACUGAAGCCACCGUGUUCAGGUUCCUUCAGUUCACAUUAGCCUGUCUUGGUUAAGUAUAGUUUCGCUGGUGGUAACAUGAAAUAGUAGUUCUUCAUCUGUACCUGCAUUAUGUAUUAUAAACACUAUAUGAUAUAGUUAAAAAUAUAUCAUAUUGUUAUAUCACCACUAACAAAACAAAUAGAAAUAAAAACAACCUACUGAAACUCUUACAGCUUUCUGAUAGGUGUGUUCACUCCAGAACCGGUAGUAAUAAUGAGAUUUUCACUGGCAAGAUGGACAGAGGGUUAUGAGACUCCUGCAGACAAGGUAGAGUUAGUUCUCUUCUCCAUCUUUUGUUUUGUUUUGUUUUGAUUCCAAGAUGGUUUCUCUGCAUAACCGUGGCUGCCCUGCAGCUGACUCUGAUCCACACGCCUCUGCCUGGGGAAUGCUGGGAUUAAAGGUGUGUGCCCUCACACCCAGCGACUUCCAUCUAUAUGUCCAGGAGUUAAAUUCAGCUCACCCACUGAGCUCUACCACUCACCCUCCAGAUACCUUCUUAUCUGUUAAAACUGAGCCAUGAGGCCAUUCUGCAUGGGACCAUAGCAUGUGGCACAGGUACCUUAAGCUAAUGGCACUUGAGAACCUGAUUUCCAAGAUGUCCUGGGGCAGAGAGCUGCCACAGUUGAUUUUCUGUCAACUGUAGUCAGUUGAAGAGUCAGAGGCAUCCCUGUUGUGCACUGGGUGUUGGGGUGUGUGUGCUUAAGAAGGGGGUGAUCGGAGGGGCACCGUGCUCCACUGACACUUUCCCGGGGUCACUUACCUUUCCUCUGUAAAUCUGUCCACACAAACACAGCUUCCUUCGUUGCAUGGCAUCUGCGUGGCACGGCUCAUAGGUUUUGUCCAUAACUGAGCUUCCACCAGAGUGAAGGAUGCCACCCAUUGAGUCUGCCUUGGUGCUUGAUGAUGAAUCUGCCCCAGCUCUGACAGCUCACGGCCCCACUACCGAACUAGAUAGAGUGUGGGUAGAAUUCACACUGUAAAGGAAAGGAAUCACAGUCAACAUGGAACUUCCUAUGUCGGGUUGGGGUGUCAUUGUGAUGGAUUACACUUUAAAGUUCUGCAAGUUAGAUUGUUUAAGGUAAUGAAGUCAGGGUGGGAAUGUGCAGUCAAGGGCUCCCACUUGUGGGGAAGCAAAUGCUCUCCAGAGGGAGGACAGACUGGAGGAUCCCACAAUCAGGUGACCGGAAGUCAACCCUGGCACCUAUGUGGGUCUUACUUGCUAUCUCUAGCAAGGAGGCAAUUUUAGCACACUCCUGCCUACACCCUAGACCGUGCAAGGGGAUAAUACCUCGUCAGAUGCUCAGAAACAGCCCUGUGCAAGCAUUCUGCAUCCGAUGCUGAGAAUGUUGCCAGUAGAGAGAAAGCCCUCUGAACUGUGAGAUUCCAGUUCUCAGUCCAGGUUUGAUGUCUGCUCCCACUGUGUUGGAGAGUUAGGCAGCUUGCCUCUUGUGCAGAUGCCGGUCUCUCUUUGUGGGUGUCUUGUGCACUGAGUAUUUUUGGUAUAGCUGUGGCUUGCCUGUCCUACCUUGUAAAUGUGCCCAUUCCCACAUGGGCUGCUUUAGGUGGCCACAUCUGCUUCUGCUGAACUUCCUCAGUCAGAGCAGCCACCCUCCAGACUGUUGCCUCGGCCCUCUCUGAUGUUGAUGACAGGGCAUGCUGACCCGUCUUACGCUCUGUGUGGCUCAUGGGGAAUCAGUGAAGGAGAAGUAUGUGGAAGCCUCUAGCCAAGAGGAGACACCCGGCCUCUCCUCGGGAAGCCUGGGUCUCAUUUGCAUUUUUGCAUGUUAGUUGCUCAUAAACAGUCCUGUGCAACUGCAGUCCAACUGUGCAGACUAGGCUUGGAAAAUUAGGACACCCUGAGCCUCCAGGCUAAACUUGGGACUCUGAUCUGAGGGAAUCUUUGGAUUUGGAAAUAUGGCAGAACCCAAUUAGACAGAGCACUGUUGGCAUGGCUUGUGACAACCAAACUUUUCGCAGACCAGAGCUCAUUGGGGCUACAUUUUAUGUCUGUGUUUCAUCCAUUUACCUAUCCAUCCAUCUAUCAUCUAUCUGUCCAUCUGUCUGUUCAUCCGUCUGUCUGUCUAUCCAUCUAUCCUGUCAUCCAUCCAUCCAUCCAUCCAUCAAUUAUCUAAUCUGGGUAUAUGUGUGCACAUAUAUAUGAUAACCAGAGGCUGCCCUUGAGUUUUUUUCUGCUCCCCUGCACCUUGUUUGUUGAGACAGGGUCUCUGAUUCUCCUGGAACUUGCAAAGUAGCCUAGGCUGCCUGACCAGCAAGCCCCAAAGAUCUUCUGGUUUCUGUGUCCCCAAUACUGAAAUUACAAACAUGGCUUCCUGCCUAGCUUCUCUAUGUGGGUUCUAGGUACUAAAGUCAGGCUCUCCUAUGCUUUCAUGGCCAGCACUGUACUGAGCCACUAUUUAUUUUUGAGACACAAUCUCACAGCCCACUGAGAAUUGAAAUUACAAGUGUGAGGCACACCUGGUUACUUUGUUACUCCCCCCCCACCCCACCCCCCCCGAGCUGGGGACUGAACCCAAGGCCUUGUGCUUGCUAGGCAAGCGCUCUACCACUGAGCUAAAUCCCCAACCCCUACUUUGUUACUUUAACAAAGGCUGACUACACAACCACCUUCCCUAGGCUGUGCAAUUUAAGGGAGGAAGCAUUUGUUUUGGCUCAUGGCUCAAGGGUUUCAUCAAUGCAAUGAGUCAUGGUGCAGUGAGGAAGGAGAGAGUAAAGAUCACUGGUGCUCAGUCACACCUCCUGUGUAUGCUGUCCAAGACCCCAACCCGAUCACUGGCACCAUAUGCAUUUAGGUCAGGAUCUUCCCAUGUAAUCAAGAUAAUCCCUCACAAGCAUUCCCAGAGGAUGGCCUAGUCUAGAUAAUUCCUGACAGAUGUGCUGGGAGGCCUGUUUCCUAGAUGAUUCUAGGCCCCGUCAAAUUGACAGUCAACAUAGACCAUUCCACAGACCAAAUACAUUCAUGGUGGCUUGGGUACACAAGCUCAGGAGAGUCUCUGUCUUUCCCCCCGUCUCUCGUGCCCGUUUCCCUCGAGGAUCACUUAGUCUCUGCUUAAGUAUGGUCUCUAAGCUCAUCACUGUGUCUCAGAUCUCUCCACUGACUUCAGGCUCUUGUGUAGAUUUGCUAAUUGGAUAUAAUAAACUAUAUUUCAGCAUAGACAGCUAAUCUUUACAUAGCCAAGAGACAUCUUAAAAAUUAGCUUGACCUUGUAGGUCAGAGAGUAUGGUUGUCAUGACAAUGAAGGUGUGUAGCAGUAGAGCAGGGAAGUGAGUGUGUACAGAAAUAGAUUCCUGGCUAGACACUAAUUGAAUUUUGAGGAGAGGCGCAGGGUACUUGGAUGGGGCAGAGAGCUAUUUCAAUAGGUUCUCUGACUACCAAAUAGCUGGAGAAGAGGGCAAGUUUACUUCGCAGUAUAUAAAAAAAUUAAUUUAAAUGAACCAUAAACUAAAGUUUAGCAGGGCUAAAAGCAUAGAAGGAAAUAUUUCUAACAAGCUAAAACACAUGAGCUGUAAACGAAAAUAAUGAUUAAAGUGACUCUCAUUUAGUUUUUUUUUUUUUUUUUUUUUAAGAACAAAAGAAUCUUUGUUCGUUCCAGGCCAUGAUUAAGUCUUCAAAGCAACUUCCUUUCUAUUAAACGUGCACGGUGAUCUGGACACUAACCUCUUGAGCUACUGAGGAUGAGCUCUCUGUAGCUGUACAGCGAGUCACGCGUGGUUUCUCUCAGCUAGCACGGAUGUGAUGGCGUUCAUUGCCGUGUUUCUCUGGUGUUAAACCAUCUUUACGUUUCUAGGGUAAACCACUCGGUUACAGUGGGUAGCCAGAAGGUGCACUGUUGGCUUCAGUUGGUUGACAUUUUAUUUAGAAUCUCCACAUCUGUGUUUAUUGAUGCCAGGUUAACCGUCUCGUCUUAGGAUUGCAGUCAUGCUGGGAUCAUGGAGCAUGCACAACAAGUUCCUGCCCUCUCCACUUCAAGACCCAGAACGGGCGCUUUUCAGAGCUGUGGCUGUUGUGAACCCCGUUGGUGCUUGGUUACUUAAGCCACCAAAAUAUUUUUUUAACCUUGUUCUUAAUUAACCUUUUAAAUUAAAAAGUUAUUUUUCUAGUUUUACUGUUUUCCUUUUUUUCCCAGGGAGUAAGCUAAAUUAACUGUCCAGUUAAUUUUUAAUGGAUAUUUAUUCACUCAUUUAUUUGACAUUUAUUUAGAUUUAUUGGGCAUUUGCUCUGCACGGGGCAUUAUCCCCCAUGCUGGAGAGAAGUGAACAGCAAGAGCGCUGCUGGUGGCUUUUCCAGAAGAGAGAUGAGAUGUGACGUGUCCAGCUAGUAAUAGCUUACACCUGUGGCAGGCUGGGUCCGUGAAAGAGACCUUCAGACAUUUGUCUCUCAAGGAAAAGUCCUUCUGCAUACUUGUUGAGCUGUGAAUUAAGCAUGGAUCUAAAAUCUCUAAAUAUACAUUAUGCAUCAAAUAUUUAUGACACCCAUACACUAUUCUAGGCGAAGGGUAUAGCACAGACCUGUGGAAUCUGUUUCGGCAGUGUCUCAGAACAUACUCUGUUGCUGUAACACAUUGCCUGUGACUGAGCAGCCUGCAGAGAACAGAACUGUAUUUGGGUUUAUAGUUAUGGAGCUGGGAAGCCCAUGAGCAUGAUCUUGAAUUCAGCAAGGCCUUCUUGCUGUGGUACCGUGAUAGAGGAUGGCGCAUAGCACGUCCCAUCAAGUCUGUUGUUCUGCGGGUCUCCUAAAGCUUCUAAUGCCACGGUAGGGCUCCACCCUCCACUCACGCCAAUAACUUAAGUCCUCACCUUUAAUUGCCAUCGGUGUGAGCUUUCAACUUAGGAACUUCAGGAAGACAUGUUUAAACGACAGCAAGUCACUUACGUCAAAGGUCUUGGGUGUUUUGAAGGAUGUGUGUGCACCAUUUACAGUAAGAUUUGAAAGUCACGUGUCCCCUGUCCUGCCAGAAUGCUUGAGCGCCGACUCUCUGAGCUCCAGGGCUGGGUCUGGGCGGGGAGGAAGUUCCUUUCAACCCUUGUCUCUGUUUGCAGCUCUUGUGUCUUGAGGUACGGUCACCACCACACUUCUUUUCUGAAGAGACAGAGGGUGAGAGUGGAGUUCCCCGGAAGCCCCACCCUCUCAGCCUGACUUCUUCCCCUACAUUCUGGGGCUUGAGGCACUGGCUCUGUGAAGCAUAUUUCGGAUUUGAAGAGCAACCAUUCUUGAGGGGCUGACACCGAGUUCCAUGGAGCAUGUGGAAAAUUGAAGGAGCAGGUGCCAGUCUGUUCUCUGCUCUCCGGGGUCACAGUGAACAGUUGUUCUAUGUAAAGAUUCCCAGGUCCUCCUUACCCAUAUCUCCCACCCACCCACCCACCCACCGCCGCCCUCCCUGGGCUACUGUGGAGGGCAUCUCACACCCACCUAAUCCAGACCCUGCACCUGCAGCGCAGUCCAGCCCUUCCCAGUCCAGGCCCCUCAGGCUCCUCUGUGAUUCCAUCUGUCUCUUGUGAACCAUUUCUAAACAUGCCCGUUCAUCCACUCCCUCUCAGCCAGCAUGGCUGCUCUGACCACCUCGGAGGUGGGCUCCAGCCUCUGUGGCUAUCGUGUUUGCUUCUCUCAAACCUACCCAGGGCCUCUGACCCUGUUCUCAGACAUUUUCAGAUUCUUCCUUUUACUUCCUUCUGCUCUCUGAAAACCACCCGUAAGAGCAGCCUUCCUGGCCACUCGUGCCCAUCCCUGGUCCCUCCCACUCCACGUUCACUACCGGCCUCCUUACCCUGCCUUCGUUUCCCCUGAAUAACAGCCCACGGGGUAAAUGCAGGGUGUUUGUUCACUAUAAUCAGCGCAGAGCCUAAGGAUGCUGGCACACGAGCUGUGUUCUUCCCUUUCUCCCUGCACUUGAAGGAACUCAGAGGUGGCCCUCCAGAACAGGUGCUCCAAAGCCAGAAGGGCAUGGCUGUGGCUCAUGGGUGGCUGGUCCUUCUGAGCAGAAACCAGAGGGGCCACGGUCAUGACUGAAACCUCACAGCAGCCUGUGAGGAGCAGCACCCUCCUGGGAAGGCCAAGGCGCUCAGUGAGAGAGGUUAAGGAAUGGAUUGGUGGCCUGGCCCAGCUCAGGUCUAGGUAGCAUCUUCUGCAUCCCUGCUGUGUGGCUAGAGGCAGAAACAGACACAGCUCCCCCUGCACACAAGCCUUUCCCUGCAGUUUCAGCCUCUGAGUCUCUGGGCCUGGAGGCCAUGCAGCCGCCAUUGGCUCAUUGCUCAGGAGGACUGUUUGCUGUGGGGAGUGAGCAUGCCUCUUACCAGCUGUGAUCCCAGGGCUCUGAGCAGUUACUCAUGGGCAAAUGGGACAGGAACAGUCCCCAUCUUAGAGCACAGAAGAUGAAGUCAGCAGUGGCUCCCUCACACGGGGCUCUUGAAAUCAAGUCGGUGCAUGACCAUCCUUUCUUGCUCCGCAUUAGUCCAAGUCACACGACCCAACAGUCAAAUGUCCAUGGUUCCUGUGUCCCCACUGCCUCGCCAGCCAGCGGACGGUUGAUAAGCAGGUGGCAGCUGUGGGUCCCCGCUGUGACAGAAGAAAAGGCUGCCUGUCCCCAGGGCUUACUGGGGAGGGGGCUGCAGAACCCCCCCCCCCAGGUGCCUUUCCCCAGCCUCUGCCAUGGUUUACGGUUGGCAGCUAGUUACCGGGAAGGGGCUGAGGGACCACGCUGGCUUUUGCCGUUCUGUCCGCAUCUUGCCGAUCUCUGAGCUACCAUCCACCAGGGCCUUAUUUUAGACUGCGGCUUCCGCCAUCGGCACCACAGCACGAGACCUACAGCAUCCACCCAGCUGAUCUUUUCUUUCCAGUUGGGAAGAAGAUGCCCUAUUCUGACCUGCCUUUGUUUCUUUUUUAAUUUUCUUCAUUUCUACCUUUCGGCUUCUGGUAACAGUGGAUGACAGCAGGUUUCAGAAGCCACAGAAACAGUCCUGUAGGUCUGUCCAACAAACCCUGGGGAACAGCCACGUUCCACGGGGCCCUGUGGCACCCACUUGUGUAGUUCAUGAUGGCCGCCCAGCCAGCCUCUUUCCCCCACCACUCCCUAUUUCUCUCACAUGGAAAAAAAGGAAACCACCUAGGGUGGGUUACAUUUAAUGGGGUGAGAAAAGUCUACACGGUAGAGGAGAAGUUACAGGUGAGGCCAAGCGCCUUCCUCCCAGGAGGGUGAGCCAUUUUCUCCUCUCUGGCUCCCAUAUGGACAAAGCACACAAAAGGGCCCUUUCUGGGUUUGAUGUAUUACUUUUAAAAAACAAACCCUUCAUGUUUUUUUUUUUUUUUUUUAAAUUUUGGUUCCUACCUCUUGGCCGACCCAGCAGGAAUUUGGCAGUCUAUUAGACUGCUUCAAAUGCUAAGAGUUGCCUCUCUGGAAGUCACAUAGUUGGGGGUGCUAGGGAUUCUAGAUGUUCUGUGACCUGGGCUGCCAAGCUGCCGGGGUGCUCAGGGCAAGGGGCCCUGGCCUCCAGUGCAUGCAUGACGAGAGGCUUAGCAGCUGUUGAUACACCACAUUUAUGGAUGGGGUUCUUUCUCUGACUCCUGCUUCUUGGUGUAUGACUGAAAUUUUUUUAUAAUCUUUUAGAGUAUUUCCGGGGUUACAUGAGGAGCAUUUUGUUCAGGGCAAGCCUGUUUAUCGCUUUUGUUGUUGUUGUUGUUGUUGUUAUUUGUUUUGGAUGUUGUGUUACAAUUCCUGUCCCAGAUCUGUGAUAAGUCCACACCUCCGUUUAUCAUUUAGUUCUUUCUACAAAGCAUUCAGCAUCCAGCUUCCCUACUUUGAAAAGAAUCAAAACUCCGUACUGGUUCAACAUGGGUAGACAGUGGUGGUAAAUGGACAGGCCUGUGUACGCUGUGUGGACGUUGUGACGUUGUGACGUUGUGCUGACGUCGUGACGUUGUGCUGACGUCCUGACCUUCUACAACGGGGAGUAUUCCAAUAUUCUUCCUUCUGUUGUCCGGAACACAGUGUCUUGGUGGGCUGACCAAAAUUCUUCCCUGAUGGAAUGGGGGUACAGCAGAAGGGUCCCUCACUGGGGGCGGGGGUCUCAGUAGAGCAGAAUGGAGCCGUUUGCUGUCUUCUUCAGCCUUCCAUGCACGCAGGCAAAGACAUAAGGCAGCCAAGCGGCUGGGGGAUGUAGCUCAGGUGUUAGAGCGCUUGCCUGGCUCAGGAAUGCCCUGAGUUCUGUCCCUGGCGCCUGACCCCAUGCAGUGCUGUAAACACCUGUGCUCCUAGCACUUGGGAAAUAUAGACAGGAGGAUCAGAAGUUCAAGGUCAUCCUCAGUUACAAAGUGAGUUUGAGGCUAGCCUGGGCUACAGGAGACAGUGUCUGGCUUUCUGAAUUCAUUCUUAACUGUGGCCUGAAUGCAGUAACCUGUGUUUGGUUGUUGUUUUUAAGGGGAACAGGACUGUAUAGCUUGUUGGGAGAAUGCUUGACUCUGCAUGGUACCCUAGGCUCAGUCCCCUGUACUACAGGGAGGGUCAUACCAUAUCUCCCCCAUAUCUCCCAGCUCAGGUAGCUACUGGAGAUGAAUCUUUGUUGCCUUUUUUAUUAGAAUAAUCAGGGUACUCGGUUGCCCGGGGAGUACUUUCCUUAGGCCUCGUAGAAUGUUCCUAGUCCAACACUGCAUUCUGAUUCCCUGCCCCUAGACAGGGUGUCCUACAAAAACAACCAGAUCCAACCCUUAGCAAUUAAAGAGCUUGGCCAGGUAACCACCCCCUCCCCCAAAGCCUGCAGGAUGUGAGUUAUUCAUCUUUACCAAAGAAGUUAUUCAUCGGCACUAAAGGCUCCUUUGAGUUUUUAUAACUUUAGGAUCCUUUUAAUAACACACUCGUUUUAUAUAAUAAUAUCCAACUGUAAUGCUGUGCACAGCCCCCGCCAGCCCUCCUCUCCUUCCCCACAGGGCCUCAUCUGUGGCAGGAACUUUAAUCUUCCUCUUUGCAUUUUAAUGCUUAUCGUAAAAAGCCUUAGGAGAAGCUUGGGCAGUUUCAUUUUGAGAAAAGCGCACCCAGAAGCCUUUGUUCCCUUAGAACGCUAAGCUCCGUUUAUGGCUUCCAGCUUUAUGAGGGACUUUUGGUGGGCCAGUGCAGAACGGUAGGUCCCUAGGCAUGUCAGCACCCAAGGCUCACUAGGGAGUCCGCUAAGUCCCUCUCCCUUGACAAAGGUUCUCUGUCCCACUCAUGCUUGGCAUGCUUGUGCAUGUGCCCAAAAAGCACAUCAUGUGUGAAAGGCAGGCACAGCCCCUCCUCUCCGUAGGAUGAGUGACUUCCUCAGGGAGGCUGUUUAACAAGGGUGCCUCAUGAAGCAUCCAGCACAGGAGCCCAGAGGAUCCAGCACCAGCACCGUAUGGUUUCAGGGAGGCAAAAGUGUCACCUCUAGGAGUCACGGUGACAGAGUUUUCUAGAGGCUUGAGGAAGAUGAGUGAGCUGAGCUGCCUUGGAAUGGAAUAAAUUCACAUUCAAACUGGAGCCAAGCUAGGGAGAAAAGCAGGGGAAAUACAUUCCUGGUUGCAACGUGUGCAGAAGAUCACGUUCCACAGGAGAGAGUGUGCCCCACAGAGAGAGAGAGAGUGUGCCCCACAGAGAGAGAGUGUGCCCCACAGAGAGAGAGAGUGUCCCACAGGAGAGAGUGUCCCACAGGAGAGUGUCCCACAGAGAGAGUGUCCCACAGAGAGAGAGUGUGCCCACAGGAGAGAGUGUGCCCCACAGGAGAGAGUGUCCCACAGGAGAGAGAGUGUCCCACAGAGAGAGUGUCCCACAGAGAGAGUGUCCCACAGAGAGAGAGUGUGCCCACAGGAGAGAGUGUGCCCCACAGGAGAGUGUGCCCCACAGGAGAGAGUGUGCCCCACAGGAGAGAGUGUCCCACAGAGAGAGUGUCCCACAGAGAGUGUCCCACAGAGAGAGAGAGUCCCACAGAGAGAGAGUGUCCCACAGAGAGAGAGUGUCCCACAGAGAGAGUGUCCCACAGAGAGAGAGAGUCCCACAGAGAGAGAGUGCCCCACAGAGAGAGAGUGCCCCACAGAGAGAGAGUGUCCCACAGAGAGAGAGUGUCCCACAGGAGAGAGAGUGCCCCACAGAGAGAGUGUCCCACAGAGAGAGAGUGUCCCACAGAGAGAGAGAGAGUGUGUCCCACAGAGAGAGAGUGUCCCACAGAGAGAGAGUCCCACAGAGAGAGAGUGUCCCACAGAGAGAGAGUGUCCCACAGAGAGAGUGUCCCACAGAGAGAGAGAGUCCCACAGAGAGAGUGCCCCACAGAGAGAGAGUGUCCCACAGAGAGAGAGUGUCCCACAGAGAGAGAGUGUCCCACAGGAGAGAGAGUGCCCCACAGAGAGAGUGUCCCACAGAGAGAGAGUGUCCCACAGAGAGAGAGAGAGAGUGUCCCACAGAGAGAGAGUGUCCCACAGAGAGAGAGAGAGAGUGUCCCACAGAGAGAGAGAGAGUGUCCCACAGAGAGAGAGUGUCCCACAGAGAGAGUGUCCCACAGAGAGAGAGAGUCCCACAGAGAGAGUGCCCCACAGAGAGAGAGUGUCCCACAGAGAGAGAGUGUCCCACAGGAGAGAGAGUGCCCCACAGAGAGAGUGUCCCACAGGAGAGAGUGUGUCCCACAGGAGAGAGUGUGCUCCAAGGGGAGUGUUCACAUGAGAGAACUUAUCUCUAGGAGAGGGUUUCUCUGAGAGCAUUUUUCCCCAGAAAAGUAUGUCCAGGGAAGAGUGUUGCUAGAAAAUGUGUCCCAAGGAAUGUUCCCUCACGAGUCCCCAGCUUUUAGGGGCUGUUUCAACCUGGCUAUCACCACAGACAUAGCAUCUACCCUUGAUGUUGGUGCACUGAGCACUGAUGGCUUUCUUGGGUGUCAGCAUGGGGCUUUCAACUGUUCUGAGCCAUGCUGUGUAGAAGGGCACACAGGGCCUCUUCUGCAGACCUUCUUGACCUGGAAGCACCUCAGAGGAGCCAGAAGCUGGCUUGAGUGGGGUGGCCUGUGUGCACACCCAGAGUGGAAUGUGUGUGUGUAUGUGUGUGUGUGUGUGUGUCUGUGUGUCUGUGUGUGUCUAUGUGUGUCUAUGUGUGUCUGUGUGUGUGUCUGUGUGUCUAUGUGUGUCUGUGUGUGUGUCUAUGUGUGUCUGUGUGUGAGUGUCUGUGUGUCUGUGUGUGUCUAUGUGUGUGUUCAUGUGCAUCCUCCCCCUUAUUCAGGAUAGGUACCACCUAGGAACCUUCUGGCAUGUCAAUGUGAGGAAAGCCAGAGCAAGAGCAGCUGCGACCUAAGUGUUUUAUGCCCUGCUCAGGGCUUUAUCUACAAGGAGACUGAGUCAGCAGAGGAGCACAUCCCACAGGUGCCCCCAGUAAAGCCUUCCAGUAGGAUUGCUAAGCCUGCAGCCCAUCACUGUCAGGAGGGCAAGGGCCUGUCUCACUGUCCAUCUCUUCAGGUUCCUGGUGAGAUUAAAGAAAUACCUCAACCCCUGGGUGCUCUAGGGAAGCUUCCAGAACCAAUCUUUUCCCAUCCUGAAGUGGAGGUGACAGGCACAGCAGCAUGGUGCGUACCUGUCACAAAGCCCCAGGCCACACUGUCAGUUUCUCCUAUACCGCCUGGCUCUGCAUCUCUACAGUGGGCGGAAAGGCCUGAGGUCCAGUGUUCACUCUCACGUGGGAUCUGUGGCCACGCCCACUUGGCUGAUGCGUGACGACUGUCUCUCUUCAAAGGACAUGUGUGGCUUUUUAUUAUUCAACAUCCUCCUUAUUCAGUGAAAACCCACUUUGUUUCUGGUCUCAUCGAAUUAUUUCACACAGCUAGCAUGGCAUUUCAAUCCAAAGAAGUCCUGUAAGUGCACCUUGGGGCUGGGAGAUGGCUCAGUGGUUGAAGUGUUUGCUGCGUAACUGUCAGGAACCUGAGGUCAGAUCCUCAGCACUUAGGUUAAAAAAAAAAAAAACCAAAAGACAAAAAACAAAAAACCCACAUGCCUGCCCUAGCACUCAACAGGAGGGGCCAGGCAGGCCAGCCUAGCUGAAGGGAAGGGAUUGUAACCAAUAUUUAGCUUGUACACAGGCAGGCACAUGUAUAUGCACAAGCACGCGCGCGCACAGACACACACACAUAUUUGCACAUGCACAUAUGUCAUGCACACAGGCCUACACACGUGCACACACACACGUGCACAUGUGCUCCUGCACAUACCCACAUGCAUUUGCACACACGUGCACACGUGCACACACAGAGUCAUUGUUUUAUGAGCUGGAGAUUCCCAUCUUCCUUCCUUUUUCCCAUUUUUGGGGAAGAGAAAAUGAAACAAAAUUGUGCAGGAAGGGUUUGUAUAUUUGGUUGGGGGAGGGGAAAUUAAUCUUCUCAUAAUAGUUUUUAAAUUAAGUUUCAUACUGGUCCAAGCCCUUUCCUCUCCUCCCUUCCUCUGAUAUUCCCCCUCUCAUUAAAGCUCGGGUUUUGAUGGCAUUCACAGGAAGGCUGAUUUACUGGAAUAGAGACGCUCUCUAGGUCUUAAGUUUUGGAACAUUCCCAGUGUGUCUGAACCCAGGUUUCAGAUUUUACUGGCAUUUUGUUGGCAGGGCUGUCUUUGGAGCCCUUCCUGAUUUGAACUUGUUUCCUGACACCUUUAGCAGUAUGGUCCUGCGUUUCUUAAAUUUAAAAAGGGGGGGGCAGGUUUUAAAUAGAAAAGCAUUUACAAACACAGACGAAAAGUUGAUUCUCUGAUGUCAAGCAAAAUAAAAAAGCAGUUAACUCUCAGAAACAGACACUUAGACACUUUAUUUUUAAAGGGCAGGAAAAGACAGGAUAAGGACCAGGGAGAAGGCUGUCUCCAGAAACCCCAGCUGUGUGGACUCUCCUCUCCCUCUUGAAGCUACAGCAAGAAGGCAGCUUGUUUCACUACCCUGGGCUGUGUCUGUAACGCCAACAGCCAGGGUCACUGGUGAACUCAGGACCUAGCUCACCUGAAGGCCUUGUUGCCAGUCUGUUGGGAGUGGGGCAGGAUAGAGGCGGCCCCAGCAGGAUGCUCUGACACCUGAGUCAGGAGGGACAAAGAAGAGUUUGCCUGUAUUUCCCAGUUGAUAGGAGCUGAGGCCUAAAACUAACAUCCUAGGAGAAAGCAGCCGGGGCAGGGUGGGCUGGUGAGACUACUUGGUGGGGUGGGGAGGAGGGUAGUACUUGCCACCAAGCCUGACAACCCAGGAUCAGUGCCUGGCAACCCAUGUGAUGGAUGGAUCGGACCGGCUUCCAUGACUGACCUCUGACUUCCUCACUACUGCAUGCAUAUGCAAAAUGUUUCCCUAAUGAAGGGGUGUGGCAGGGGCAUGUCAGCGACAUUAUUACCUCUUCACCUUGAUACCAUCCUGGAAGCAUUAGUCGGCCCUGAGGGACACAGGAAGCCAGUUGGAGAAUAAAAAAGGCGGUGCUCAACAUGCACCGGAUGAUGUGCUCGUGAACUGAGGAAGCCUCUGAGGACCAGCAGUUAAACUACUCAGACAGCAGAAGAGCUCAGUGAGGGAAUGGGGUGAAAUGUCCGACCAACGGGGAACCGACAGAGUCAGUCUCGCAGGGGUGGAGAGAUGGGUAGAAGGCGGAACUGGCCCAGAGGGGAUGGAAAGUAACUACUUGAAUGAGCAUCUGUUCCAGCACUGGAUUCAGAACCAGAUUUGGUUCCUGGGGCCGCCAACACGGAGCAAAGCCCUGUGUUGAAGAAAGAGGCCCCUUGUCCUGGGGCUCGAGGAGCUGAGCUAGUGCUAAGCUUCCCCGGCACAGUCUUUGUGCCUCCUGCCCUUGGCAGGGUGGAGCCCGAGAGCAAGGAAGGGCGAUGCUCUGGGCAGCUGUGGUAGAAGAUGCUCUGGCGGCUGAGGCCAGCGGGCAGGGCGGGAAGUCCUUCCCCACGAUUACCCUGAGGCACAGAUGGAAUUGAGGUGGAAAGGGGCCGGAUGGGGGCCUGAGUGGGAGGGCGGGCUUUCCCUUUAUAGAAGAAGGUCAUUCCACGAAACUUGCUUUGACCACCCAGGUGCUUCAGAAACUCCUUGGCUCGGUAGCUAAGGAAACUCAUUAUUUUAUUAUUUUAUGUAAAUUUGGUGAGAUGUUGGCAUGCUUAAAACAGCUUCCUUGGGAGAGAUCUUGCCCAAUGCCCAAGGCCAUGGUCUCAGUCCCCAGCACCACCAAAAAACAAAAAGGUUUUGUUUCCCAGGAAUGUCGCUCAGUUGAUCGAGUGUCACAUGAAGUCCUGAGCAUGGCCCACAGUAGCAUAACUCAAAUGCAGAACGUGCCUGUAACCCCAGACUCAGGAGGAGCAGAAGUUCAAGGUCGCCCUCAGCUGCACAGAGGAUUUGAGGCCAAUCUGGGCCACACACAAGUCCCUGGCUUUAAAGACAGGAGGAAUGGGGGGGGGGGGGGGAACGACCGGAAUUCAUAGAAACAGGAAAAAUAAUUUCCCAGACACUUGGGAGAAAAAUGAACUCCACCACAAAUUUGGUAGCAUUUACUUUUUGAAGAUUUGAGAUCUUAUUUCAGUUGUUUAAAAUAAAAGAGAUUCCUUUCUCAGGUUUAGGAUUAAAUAUACAGAACUUUCCAGAAAAUCUCACAGCUCUCCAGGACUCUUAAGCUGACACAGAUGCCUUUGAGGAGACUACAAAUGGUGUUCCUGCCUUCAUAUCUCACUGGUGAAGAGAGAGAACUGAAAGGCUGAGGCAGGAGGAUCUCAAAUCCAAAGGCCAGCCUGCCUACAUAUCAAGACCCAGAAACAAAGCAGCAGGUCUUCUGUAGUGACCCCACCCCCAGACCCCCAAACCUCCACUUCCUCAGCUGUAAAAUGUGACCACGUGGUCAUGAUACCUGGGACCCUCUGGAGGCAUCUAAGGAUUGGCUCAGUAAAAGCACCAGAGAGCUGUAGACUGCCCAGAACCCUGAAGGAUAUUCUGAACAGACAAAGAGCCCACUCUGUUACUAGUUGGAGCUGCCCUUCUGCACAGCUCUGAAGUUCAUUUGUUCUCGAGAUCUUAGAUCUGAUCGAGUGUGAAGAUGUCACUGUGUUGCUGGUGGGCUGACUAGUGGAAACCUGCCACGUUGACAUCACAGAACCUAACACCUGCUAAAGGCCUAACUGGAAAGUAAGUAGAACUGUGCAGAUGAAGUGGAGGCUUCCCGUGAAACCUUAGAGCAGUGAUAAUUCUGUAACUUAAGCAAUAUGGAAUUCAUUCCGGGACAGAAUGUACAAUUAGCCCAUAGCAAUCGGUAGGUUUUAUCAUACAACGGUAAAUGGUAUUGUGACAUGUAUUUACAACAACGAACCUGAUAGGGAAGCCUAAGAGAUGUAUUUAAGCAACAUAAGACUGCCUGCUCACGAGGUGACUCGGCUUCACAAGCAUUUCAGUUCUCAAAUUAAUUUAGAAAGUAUAUUUAUACAGAAUGAACAGACAGAAAUCCUCCACGUCUGCAAAGGCCUGGGGAAGUAGCACCCAAGGAGACCAGGGAGGAGGAUGGGGCUUGCUGGACACUGAGAUGUGCUUGGUAACUAAAACUGUGCAAUGUCUGCACUGCCUUAGACCUGGGAAUUUAGGAAAGGGGACCGGUGCCAACAGAAAAGGAUUCCCUUUCAGAAACAGCCCCGAGCGCAUUAGACACUGUACAAAAUGAGGAGGGGUCCCACAUCUCCACAGCAAAGGGUAGGUAGUAUGUCUGUUGACAGGUCUCCCAACAAACAGUUCUGAGACAAACUGGUGGGAAUCGGAAAGAUAAAAAACCAGGCCUGUACCAAAGUUUUAUCCUAUGUAGGAAGGAACUCUAAAUGGACUGGGAACACAUUCAUACACAAGAAGCAAGUGAAUUCCUUGGGGAUGGGAAAACAGUCUCUAGAGUCUCUAGCCAUGAAGCAAAAACAAGAGGCAAAAAGAAGAGGUCGAUGUGUGUCACACACACACACACACACACACACACACACACACACACAUCGUGAAGAUGUGGGGGAAUGAGGGUCAUCUCUAAUUGGUCCAAGAGUAGGUCAGGGGUUGUGGCCAUAUCUCACAAUGUCACACAAGCGCUUGCUCUCUGAGCAGCAUCCCACCCACCUCCAACACUUUACUCUAGAUGCAACCCUGACAGUGUCUCCAUACAUGUGAUCAAGGUGUGAGGACGCCUAAAUGAUGAACCAGCGUGGAGUUCUGCACCACACAGCAUCAAACAGGGAUGAGGGAGACCUCAUGGGCGUGCUGAGUAUGCCCAGCCUCCACCAAAGACUAGGGAGGGGAGGGAGACAGAGGGGGAGACAGAAUGACGUGGGUCCAGGGUGGCAGCCUUCUCUAAGGAAGAGAAAGAAUGAAGAAAGCAGGCAUGGGCCUACCAUGUGCAGAAGGGGUCACAAGAACCAAGCAGAGACAGCUGAGGGUUGACUUGUGUUUACAUCAUAGAGGUGCAGACCAGCAAGAAGGGAUGGAAGGUGAAGGGGGAGUGUAGUGAAUGCCCACAGACUCAGAGGCUGCAGUGUAGUGAAUGCCCGCAGACUCAGAGGCUGCAGUGUAGUGAAUGCCCGCAGACUCAGAGGCUGCAGUGUAGUAAAUGCCCACAGACUCAGAGACUGGAAAGCUUGGUCCCCAGCUUGGGAAGAGUUAGGAGGGGGUUCAUUGGAGAUGUGUCACUGAGAGAGGGCUUUGGGGUUUUCAAAAGACUCUUCCCACUGUGUCUCUCCUCGUGAUCAUGGAUUAGUCUGUGAGCUCUCGGUUCCUUCUCUCAGCCAGCAUGGACUCUGUAGCCCUCUGAAACCCCAGGGAAGUUGCUUUGGCCUAGGUGUCUUGUCACAGCAGUAGAAAGUGACUAAGCAAGGCCAGCUCUGGCAAACUUUAAAACACUGAACAGGAACAGUGAUGGGCGGAAGGAAGCGAAGUCAGGAUCGCUGCUAAGCCUGAUCGCUCGGGCAGAAUGACUGCACAGGAUGAAGGGAAAAAGGUCACACUGAAGGAAUUUGUAGACACAUUGUUUGCUUGAAUAUCUCAGGCUGCUGAGGACUAGAACUACAGGUAAACACUCAACUCUUUCUCUCUUGUGUUUUGUCCCAGCAGGACGGUCGUCCAUUCUGAGAUCUCUGCACCAUAGCAUUGCCUUAAAAAAAUAUAAUGUUCAUUUUAUAUAUUAAAGAAAAAAGUUUUGCACACUUCAUUGGCUGUAGGUCAUAUCUCAAUACAAAGUAUAAAACGGGAACAAAAGAAAACAGUUAUGGGGUUGGGGAUUUAGCUCAGUGGUAGAGCGCUUGCCUAGCAAGACCCUGGGUUCGGUCCC